This 62270-nucleotide long non-coding RNA is filed under the name Lathyrus oleraceus (garden pea). RNAcentral describes it as "Pisum sativum (pea) long non-coding RNA (PSAT_LNC038781)". The record is from RNAcentral. Lineage: Eukaryota; Viridiplantae; Streptophyta; Magnoliopsida; Fabales; Fabaceae.
UUCAAGAGAGGUUGGAUUUCAAAACUCGCGAUUGCCGUGAUUGUGUUAGGGAUUCUGUAGAGCAUUCAUUGUAGAUCACGUAGCAAUUUGUAGAUUGUGAUUUCAUUGAGAAUCGACUGCGUUAUAUUCGAUUGAAGUUUGUGUGUCGUAUCUUCUUUCGCUCGAUUCGUUCCAUAUCUGAACCUAUAGACAAUUUCACUAUGAUAUUUGCAAUCCACGAGCUGAGACGUUUCGAUCGGUAUAUCGCUUAUGUAUUUUCGUUAACUUUUGCUCAAAACCUAAUUUAAGAUGAUGAACCUGGAAGAACCGCGAUGAACAUUCAAGAAAUCUGCAGAAAAUCGUUCGUUUGAUCCGCUUCCAUCCGUUUUCAAUUCAAUUUCGUGUUUUCGCGCGCCAGAGCCAAUGAAGCGUCGCCACAUCAUUAAGUUGGACGACCGCGUUUUGGUCCAGGGGCACAUAAUUACCGUUGUGCCAUUUUCGUCCAUAAUUAAUUAAUUAAUUCAUUCUAAAACCUAAAUAAAUAUUUCAAAACUUCAAAAAAUCAUAGAAAUAAGUUGGACGACCGCGUUUUGGUCCAGGGGCACAUAAUUACCGUUGUGCCAUUUUCGUCCAUAAUUAAUUAAUUAAUUCAUUCUAAAACCUAAAUAAAUAUUUCAAAACUUCAAAAAAUCAUAGAAUAUUCAAUAUUAAUCCAAAUAAUCUGAGGCUUUUUCUGUUGGACUCCAUUUUUAAUCUAUUAUUUUUUAGACAUAGAAAAUAAAAUUGUGCUUGGUAGAAAAAUUAAUUGGUAUAGAGAUGUUCUUAAUGUAUGCCAUUUUCACAUGUUCUACUAUUUUAAUCAUAGAAUAACCAUGAUUUACCCAAAUGAAUUGAAAUUUUAGAUGUUGAUUCUUGACACAUUUCUGGAGAUUUUGACAUAUGAUUUGUAAUUUUUAGACCUCUGGUUUGCUAGAUGUGAUUAAUUCUUUUUGAGUGUGACAACAUGUGUCACACUUUGAUAUGCUGAGUUCAUGUAUUAUUUUUCCAUGCUUCCAUUAGGCCUAUGGUUCUGAUUUUUUGCAUGAGAUACCUUUGACACGUUAACUUUNUCAUGAGAUUACCUUGACACGUAAACUUCAACAUGAAUUUUUGGAUUUUUAUAACAUUUUCUAAUGUUUAGAAUUUUUGUUUGCUGCUUAGCAUUUUAGGGCUUGCUUAUGUAACAUUUUUUAGUAUGUUGCCAAAUCCUCAUCCCUAACAUAUGAACAUGAAAUGUUGGGUAGAGUAGUUCCUGACAUGUGUUCUUCAUUUGGCUUUGGUCCUACUCAUUUCCCAUUUAAUGUCACUGUUUACCAUUUGUUGAAGUUUGUGUCCAUUUGUAACUUCAUUUGGUUGUGUUUUUGCAUGUCUUGACAGUUGAAUUAAUUCUCAUAUGUCACUACCAACUGUAUGAAAUGACAUGUAGCUGUUGAAGUCUCUGUUUUAGGAUUAAUAUUUGUGGAAUUUUCCAUGCGUUUUGAUAUUUUUUUUGGAUGUGAUCUUGCGGUUUGCUCCAUAUGUUGGUUCAUUUGCUUCUUUGCCUUACAUGUUGCAUAAAUUGAAAUGGUGAUUAGUUUGGAUAUGGGACCAAUUGGAGUCCUUUGUAUGAAAUUAUCUUGGUUGAUCAUGAUUUGCUUCUGUUUUAGAUUUUUCCAUCCUUUGGACCUAGGCUCGCCUAGUGGUCUAGUUACUUAUGUUUGAGCUGACUUUGACUUUUCAGGUUAAAAGCUAUCCUUAAGGAGUGUGAUACAUGAUUGAGUUGAAUUCAUUUGACUAUAUGUUGUUUGUAGGGCUUGGUUACUGACCUUUGUCUAGGCACAUGGAUGUCAUCAUUGUUUGAUGUUGAUGGAUUCUUAAUGUUGUUGUUUUGUUUAUGUCGGAUGCUGAUUCUGUUUGACUGUUUCCAGUACCCCUGAUUGCUCAGUUCUCUUAAGAACUUCAUUGCUUUGCUUAUAAGCAAUGGCAUUGAGGUAUAGAACCUCUUCUUCAUUGUGUAGUCUGGAGACCAGGCUGUUAUUGGCGGGCAAACUGUCUGAAGUCCUCCUUAAAGGCCAAUGCUUGUUAUAGAUUAUUAUUGUCCCAAGCAGGAAAAGCCUCAUUUGAGGCAAUGUGUGAGUAGGAUAAGCAAUCUAUCCCACUAUUCUGUGAUUCUCUCCUGCUCCCAUACAUGGUUGUAGCAAUGAUCCAACCCAAGAUCUAUCGAGUCUAAUUUGGGCAAAGAGUUCAUCUCUGAACUCCCCCACAUUCUUAUAUUUAACAUGCUCUCUCGGACCUAGAUAGAAGCAAUGAGGCACACCCUCAUCACCUUUCAUCUGCUUCAUUAGCUCCCUCAAUGGCAGGUUAAGAGCUAACUGACCCCGAUCGAAGCUAGUUUGUGUGAGUUGAUAUGACCUCGACUAAGCCAGCCUUGAUGUUGACCCCUUGUUGGUGGUGUUUCUCUCUUGUAUAUGUUUGUGUGGUGUGAUUGUAUCCCUGUUUCUAGACUCGCGUAUCUCGUUGCAUGUCAAUUAAGGUAGCAGUGUCCUUCGUAUAGCGACUUCCUUUCUUGCUUGAGCUUUCCUAAAACACAAACACAUUACCCCUCUCAAGAUAUCGUCACCCUUCUACUACAGGUGAGUAAGUCUCCAAGUCGAGCAUCCGGUAGAUGGCGUAGUGACGUUGUCCAUUAAAAACACAAACCAACAGAAUAGUUUAGCCGAACUACGGCAACUCUGAUUCUCUAUGUCCAAAUGAGAUACGUAGGCACGAGAAGAUGCGAUGUCUUGUCGAGUUAACUAACAACUAAACCUAAUUCUUUUCUCUCGCCCCGUUGCGAUGUAGAUCUCCUUCCUCUGCCCUAGUUGACAAUCGAGACCCUUCUUCUUCCUGUGUCUGUUGUGUCGGUUGGAAGCUGAUGUAAGUCAUCGAGUGACAUUGCGGUUCCAUGUUAGUGCGUGUUUUGUUCGGAUUGCUGAUGUAAGCCAGUGAUUGGCAUUCAGGCUCCACUUUUGCCUCUUUGUGUGGGUUCGGAUGGCUGAUGUAACCCAGUGAUUGGCAUUCAGGCUCCACGUUGCCUUUGCAUGUGUUGUUUGCGUGCGUGUUAGCCGAGUACGAAUGCUCUGAUUCUCUCUUCGUCCAAAGGAGAUACGUAUGCAUAGGAUGCGAUAUCUAGCGAGCAUGUGCGUUCUUCCCAGUCGAACUACUUCGACUCUGAGUCUAUGCUUGAUAGACUCUCUACCCAGGAUACGAUGUCCUGCGAGUCAGUUCUCAGUCUGUUUCUGUGUCUCUCCUAGCCAGUGUGAGGUGUUGUGAGCAGUGUUUAGCACCAUUGAUUUCCUUCCAUUGUGCCGUGGAUCCCGUGAGUACGACCGAUGCUAGGGUCCUAACCUUCCUUCGCAUAACGACCCCGAUCCAUUCUCUUGUGGUCCGAGAGCCAUGCUUUUCAGGUUUACUUCGAGCAUUUCUUUCCCUCUUUUGGAUAAAUAACGCACGUGUGCGGCUCUGUUGUUCUGUUUUCCCGCGUUUUUCGCGUAAUGCGACCCAUAUUUUCUUAUAUCUUUUUUUUCUUACCUCUUUGUUUGAUACUUUUUAACCAACUUUUUUUCAUAGGAUUCUUUCUUAUCAUUUAAAGGUCUUUAUGAAAUCCUCAUAUUAAUGCAAUUAAUGCGGAGGAAGAUCAUAUGCCUAAUACGCACUAUUGGCAUUUUGAUAAAAGAUAUUUCAAACUCGGCCAAAACCGCACACACAAACCCAUCAUCAAUUAGGACAAAAGUUUCAGUUGAUACGUAACUUCUUGAUAUGGAUCAUGAGGUAGAAUGAUUUAUAUAGCUUAUGUAGGUGUGAUUUUGUGGGAUAAUGGUUGGUUAAUUUUUAGUUUGUUAUCUAUCUUUUGUUUUUGUAUAACACAGGAUAUAGAAAAUUUCCUUUACUUGGCAUCCCUAUACUGAACAAAUGCUGCUCCCGACCUGCAUGAUCAUAUUCAAUACCGUACUAUCGUCGCCCCAUUGUUUUGCUAAACAUAUGUGGAGCCUAAUAUCCAAUGUUAUAGCAAAACAUUUCGAGAACUUUAUGAUAUAACUGACCGGUGUUGGAUCUGAUAUGUGAGUGAUUAUUCAAAGGGAAAUAAAGGAAAUAUCCAUGAAUCUGAAGCACGAGUUUCUAUUAAUCCUGUUGAGACGAGCUAGUUAGAUAUGACUAGUUGACUUAAGAAAAAAGUUACUACAAUAUUUUAUAUAUGACUGGUUUUGCAUUAUUGUUUGUGUUUAUUGGACGUGAGAGUUAUUCUUUUUCUAAACGCAGCAUACAAAAUCACUCACAUAUGUUUUGUGAGCAUCAUACUCAAUUAAAGUGUAGAAUCCAAGUAUAGAUCUAAAUGAAAAUAACUACAUUCACACACACACGAUGGUGGGGUCUGGUUAGUAGUUAGCCUAUAUUAAAAGUCAAUAUCAUGAAUAUGAAAAGUCAUACCAACUGAUUCAUUGAUUCAUUUACUCCAUAAUGUUGAAAAAGUACUUGCAGUUAACUACAAAGAACCUGAAAAAGUAUCAUUAUAAAAACAGAAAAUUUGGUUUAGAGUUCUUGAAAGUUUCUAUUUAUUAGUACCAUAUAUAUUAUUAUUAUUAUUAUUAUUAUUAUUAUUAUGAAAGUAAACUGAUAUUUGUAUCCAAAACAAAGAUAAAUUGUGAGUGUUCUGAUUUAGGUUAGAGAUAAUCAGGUUAGAGAUACAUUAUUAAGCGAUUUUGCACAAAGCGAUUUUGCACAAAUUCUGUUUUAUUUAUACAAGGGAUUUUGUUUUUACAGGAAAUGUCAACAAAAGGAUCAUCUAAAGCAAAGACUUUGUGGCACAUGUGGAAAGAUUUAGAUGAACCUUUUAAAGCAUAGAUUAACAAUAGAAUAGAAAAUUAUGGAACUCUUAAGAGUUUUAAGGCUUGUCCAAGAUAACUCAUGUGAAUUUUCAACAUCAUUGUUUGGAUUGUUCAUGAGUUAUUAUGGACUCCAAGAAAAUUAUUAUUGUUUUCAUGUUUGUGGUCACAACAUGAACGUCACAUUGGAGGACGUUCUGUUUUUGACCAACUUGCCCAUUACGGGCCGAACACUUAUAUCUGGAAGCAAUAGAGACCAUAUGGCUUUUAACAAAAUUUUUUCUUUACCUGUCACUCAUUAACUUAAGUUAACAGUGUUGAAUUUUUUUUGCUGCGAUAUAAAUAAAAAUGAUGAUGAUAGGAUUAAGGUCGUCAUCCUCAUGAUCGUGUCAUGUCUGAUCAUUCCAAGUGGGGAUGGACAAAAUUUCAAAACCACCUACGUCCAAUUUAUUGAAAAAUUGGACGAAGUUGACUCCUAUGCUUGGGGAGCGACAAUAUUGUCCCAUCUAUAUCAAGGUCUGAAGGAGAAUAAUUUACGGAAUAAGAAAGUUGACGGCUUUGUAUGGCUGAUAAUGGUAAGUGCAUAUUUUUUCUUAUAUCUUUUUUUUUCUUACCUCUUUGUUUGAUAACUUUUUAACCAUCUUUUUUUUCAUAGGGAUUCUUCUUUUAUCAUUUUAAAGGUCUUUAUGAAAUCCUCAAUAUUAAUGCAAUUAAUGCGGAGGAAGAUCAUAUGCCUAAUACGCCACUAUUGGCAUAUUUGAUAAAAGAUAUUUUCAAACUCGGCCAAAACCGCCACACAAAACCCCAUCAUCAAUUAGGACAAAAGUUUCAGUUGAUACGUAACUUCUUGGAUAUGGAUCAUGAGGUAAGAAAUGAUUUAUAUAGCUUAUGUAGGUUGUGAUUUUGUGGGAAAGGACAAAAGUUUCAGUUGAUACGUAACUUCUUGGAUAUGGAUCAUGAGGUAAGAAAUGAUUUAUAUAGCUUAUGUAGGUUGUGAUUUUGUGGGAUAAUGGUUGGUUAAUUUUUAGUUUGUUAUCUUCAUCUUUUGUUUUUUGUAUAACACAGGAUAUAGAAAAUUUUCCUAUUACUUGGCAUCCCUAUACUGAACAAAUGCUGCCUCCCGACCUGCAUGAUCAUAUUCAAUACCGUACUAUCGUCGCCCCAUUGUUUUGCUACAACUAUGUGGAGCCUUAAUAUCCAAAUGUUAUAGCAAAACAGUUCGAGGAACUUUAUGAUAUUAACUUGACCGGUGUUGGAUCUGAUAUGUGAGUGAUUAUUUCAAAGGGAAAUAAAGGAAAUAAUCCCAUCAAUUUUUAAGCACAUUUUAAAAAAGAGCUGAGACAAUGGGAGGAUAUCGAUAGGCGGUUUGCACAAAACUUCCAGACUAUUGAAGCAUCCACUUCUGAGAUGGCAGGUGAUAUUGAAGCAUCCACUUCCGAGACGGCAAGUGAUCACCAAUCACCCAAUAUUGAGAAUAGCACUAGUGGAGGUAAAAUAUUUAAUUAUGUUAUGGUUUUAGUUAUGAAUAAUGAUAAGACACUUCCGAGACGGCAAGUGAUCACCAAUCACCCAAUAUUGAGAAUAGCACUAGUGGAGGUAAAAUAUUUAAUUAUGUUAUGGUUUUAGUUAUGAAUAAUGAUAAGUAAUCAGCGGUGCAUGUUAUCCUAUGAAUAUAUAAUUACAUUUUUAAUUAAGAAAAUGUUGUUUUUGAUUUGCCAAAUUUUAACAAUGUGAUAGAUGCAUGUGAGAUGUUGGCUGUUGAUUUUGAAAAAUAUGAGAUUAUCGUACUAUCGUCGCCCCAUUGUUUUGCUACAACCAUGUGGAGCCUCAAUAUCCAAAUGUUGUAGAAAAACAGUUCGAGGAACUUGGUGAUAAUAACUUUACCGGUGUUGGAUCUGAUAUGGGAGUGAUUAUUUCAAAGGGAAAUAAAGACAAUAAUCCCAUCAAUUUUAAAGAACAUUUUAAAAAAGAACUGAGACAAUGAGAGGAUAUCGAUAGGCGGUUUGCACAAAACUUCAAAACUAUUGAAGUAUCUACUUCUGAGACGGCAGGUGAUAUUGAAGCAUCCACUUCCGAGAUGACAAGUGAUCACCAAUCACCCAAUAUUGAGAGUAGCACUAGUGGAGGUAAAAUAUGUAAUUAUGUUAUGGUUUUAGUUAUGAAUAAUGAUAAGUAAUCAGCAGUGCAUGUUAUCUUAUGAAUAUAUAAUUACGUUUUUAAUUAAGAAAAUGUUGUUUUUGAUUUGACAAAUUUUAACAAUGUGAUAGAUGCAUGUGAGAUGUUGGCGGUUGAUUUUGAAGCAUAUGAGAUUACCGUACUAUCAUCGCCCGAUUGUUUUGCUACAACUAUGUGGAGCCUCAAUAUCUAAAUGUUGUAGCAAAACAGUUCGAGGAACUUGAUGAUAUUAACUUGACCGGUGUUGGAUCUGAUAUGGGAGUAAUUAUUUCAAAGGGGAAUAAAGGCAAUAAUCCCAUCAAUUUUAAAGCACAUUUUAAGAAAGAGCUAAGACAAUGGGAGGAUAUCGAUAGGCGGUUUGCACAAAACAUCCAGACUAUUGAAGCAUCCACUUCUGAGACGGCAAGUGAUAUUGAAGCAUCCACUUCCGAGACGGCAAGUGGUCACCAAUCACCCAAUAUUGAGAAUAGCACUAGUGGAGGUAUAAUAUGUAAUUAUGUUAUGGUUUUAGUUAUGAAUAAUGAUAAGUAAUCAGCGGUGCAUGUUAUCUUAUGAAUAUAUAAUUACAUUUUUAAUUAAGAAAAUGUUGUUUUUGAUUUGCCAAAUUUUAACAAUGUUAUCUUAUGAAUAUAUAAUUACAUUUUUAAUUAAGAAAAUGUUGUUUUUGAUUUGCCAAAUUUUAACAAUGUGAUAGAUGCAUGUGAGAUGUUGGCGGUUGAUUUUGAAGCAUAUGAGAUUAUUGUACUAUCGUCGCCCCAUUGUUUUGCUACAACUAUCUGGAGCCUCAAUAUCCAAAUGUUGUAGCAAAACAGUUCGAGGAACUUGAUGAAAUUAACUUGACCGGUGUUGGAUCUAAUUUGGGAGUGAUUAUUUCAAAUGGAAAUAAAGGCAAUAAUCCCAUCAAUUUUAAAGAACAUUUUAAAAAAGAACUGAGACAAUGGGAGGAUAUCGAUAGGCGGUUUGCACAAAACUUCCCGACUAUUGAAGCAUCCACUUCUGAGACGGCAGGUGAUAUUGAAGCAUCCACUUCCGAGACGGCAAGUGAUUACCAAUCACCCAAUAUUGAGAAUAACACUAGUGGAGGUAAAAUAUUUAAUUAUGUUAUGGUUUUAGUUAUGAAUAAUGAUAAGUAAUCAGCGGUGCAUGUUAUCUUAUGAAUAUAUAAUUACGUUUUUAAUUAAGAAAAUGUUGUUUUUGAUUUGCCAAAUUUUAACAAUGUGAUAGAUGCAUGUGAGAUGUUGGCGGUUGAUUUUGAAGCAUAUGAGAUUAUCGUACUAUUGUCGCCCCAUUUUUUUGCUACAACUAUGUGGAGCCUCAAUAUCCAAAUGUUGUAGAAAAACAGUUCGAGAAACUUGAUGAUAUUAACUUGACCGAUGUUGGAUCUGAUAUGGGAGUGAUUAUUUCAAAGGGAAAUAAAGGCAAUAAUCCCAUCAAUUUUAAAGCACAUUUUAAAAAAGAGCUGAGACAAUGGGAGGAUAUCGAUAGGCGGUUUGCACAAAACUUCCAGACUAUUGAAGCAUCCACUUCUGAGACGGCAGGUGAUAUUGAAGCAUCCACUUCCGAGACGGCAAGUGAUCACCAAUCACCCAAUAUUGAGAAUAGCACUAGUGGAGGUAAAAUAUUUAAUUAUGUUAUGGUUUUAGUUAUGAAUAAUGAUAAGUAAUCAGCGGUGCAUGUUAUCUUAUGAAUAUAUAAUUACGUUUUUAAUUAAGAAAAUGUUGUUUUUGAUUUGCCAAAUUUUUAUAAUGUGAUAGAUGCAUGUGAGAUGUUGGCGGUUGAUUUUGAAGCAUAUGAGAUUAUCGUACUAUUGUCGCCCCAUUUUUUUGCUACAACUAUGUGGAGCCUCAAUAUCCAAAUGUUGUAGAAAAACAGUUCGAGAAACUUGAUGAUAUUAACUUGACCGAUGUUGGAUCUGAUUUGGGAGUGAUUAUUUCAAAGGGAAAUAAAGGCAAUAAUCCCAUCAAUUUUAAAGCACAUUUUAAAAAAGAGCUGAGACAAUGGGAGGAUAUCGAUAGGCGGUUUGCACAAAACUUCCAGACUAUUGAAGCAUCCACUUCUGAGACGGCAGGUGAUAUUGAAGCAUCCACUUCCGAGACGGCAAGUGAUCACCAAUCACCCAAUAUUGAGAAUAGCACUAGUGGAGGUAAAAUAUUUAAUUAUGUUAUGGUUUUAGUUAUGAAUAAUGAUAAGUAAUCAGCGGUGCAUGUUAUCUUAUGAAUAUAUAAUUACGUUUUUAAUUAAGAAAAUGUUGUUUUUGAUUUGCCAAAUUUUAACAAUGUGAUAGAUGCAUGUGAGAUGUUGGCUGUUGAUUUUGAAAAAUAUGAGAUUACCGUACUAUCGUCGCCCCAUUGUUUUGCUACAACCAUGUGGAGCCUCAAUAUCCAAAUGUUGUAGAAAAACAGUUCGAGGAACUUGGUGAUAAUAACUUGAUCGGUGUUGGAUCUGAUAUGGGAGUGAUUAUUUCAAAGGGAAAUAAAGGCAAUAAUCCCAUCAAUUUUAAAGAACAUUUUAAAAAAGAACUGAGACAAUGAGAGGAUAUCGAUAGGCGGUUUGCACAAAACUUCCAAACUAUUGAAGUAUCUACUUCUGAGACGGAAGGUGAUAUUGAAGCAUCCACUUCCGAGAUGACAAUUGAUCACCAAUCACCCAAUAUUGAGAGUAGCACUAGUGGAGGUAAAAUAUGUAAUUAUGUUAUGGUUUUAGGUAUGAAUAAUGAUAAGUAAUCAGCAGUGCAUGUUAUCUUAUGAAUAUAUAAUUACGUUUUUAAUUAAGAAAAUGUUGUUUUUGAUUUGCCAAAUUUUAACAAUGUGAUAGAUUCAUGUGAGAUAUUGGCGGUUGAUUUUGAAGCAUAUGAGAUUACCGUACUAUCGUCGCCCGAUUGUUUAUCUACAACUAUGUGGAGCCUCAAUAUCCAAAUGUUGUAGCAAAACAGUUCGAGGAACUUGAUGAUAUUAACUUGACCGGUGUUGGAUCUGAUAUGGGAGUGAUUAUUUCAAAGGGGAAUAAAAGCAAUAAUCCCAUCAAUUUUAAAGCACAUUUUAAGAAAGAGCUGAGACAAUGGGAGGAUAUCGAUAGGCGGUUUGCACCAAACAUCCAGACUAUUGAAGCAUCCACUUCUGAGACGGCAGGUGAUAUUGAAGCAUCCACUUCCGAGACGGCAAGUGGUCACCAUUCACCCAAUAUUGAGAAUAGCACUAGUGGAGGUAAAAUAUGUAAUUAUGUUAUGGUUUUAGUUAUGAAUAAUGAUAAGUAAUCAGCGGUGCAUGUUAUCUUAUGAAUAUAUAAUUACAUUUUUAAUUAAGAAAAUGUUGUUUUUGAUUUGCCAAAUUUUAACAAUGUGAUAGAUGCAUGUGAGAUGUUGGCGGUUGAUUUUGAAGCAUAUGAGAUUAUCGUACUAUCGUCGCCCCAUUGUUUUGCUACAACUAUGUGGAGCCUCAAUAUCCAAAUGUUGUAGCAAAACAGUUCGAGGAACUUGAUAAUAUUAACUUGACCGGUGUUGGAUCUAAUUUGGGAGUGAUUAUUUCAAAUGGAAAUAAAGGCAAUAAUCCCAUCAAUUUUAAAGCACAUUUUAAAAAAGAACUGAGACAAUGGGAGGAUAUUGAUAGGCGGUUUGCACAAAACUUCCCGACUAUUGAAGCAUCCACUUCUGAGACGGCAGGUGAUAUUGAAGCAUCCACUUCCGAGACGGCAAGUGAUCACCAAUCACCCAAUAUUGAGAAUAACACUAGUGGAGGUAAAAUAUUUAAUUAUGUUAUGGUUUUAGUUAUGAAUAAUGAUAAGUAAUCAGCGGUGCAUGUUAUCUUAUGAAUAUAUAAUUACGUUUUUAAUUAAGAAAAUGUUGUUUUUGAUUUGCCAAAUUUUUACAAUGUGAUAGAUGCAUGUGAGAUGUUGGCGGUUGAUUUUGAAGCAUAUGAGAUUAUNNNNNNNNNNNNNNNNNNNNNNNNNNNNNNNNNNNNNNNNNNNNNNNNNNNNNNNNNNNNNNNNNNNNNNNNNNNNNNNNNNNNNNNNNNNNNNNNNNNNNNNNNNNNNNNNNNNNNNNNNNNNNNNNNNNNNNNNNNNNNNNNNNNNNNNNNNNNNNNNNNNNNNNNNNNNNNNNNNNNNNNNNNNNNNNNNNNNNNNNNNNNNNNNNNNNNNNNNNNNNNNNNNNNNNNNNNNNNNNNNNNNNNNNNNNNNNNNNNNNNNNNNNNNNNNNNNNNNNNNNNNNNNNNNNNNNNNNNNNNNNNNNNNNNNNNNNNNNNNNNNNNNNNNNNNNNNNNNNNNNNNNNNNNNNNNNNNNNNNNNNNNNNNNNNNNNNNNNNNNNNNNNNNNNNNNNNNNNNNNNNNNNNNNNNNNNNNNNNNNNNNNNNNNNNNNNNNNNNNNNNNNNNNNNNNNNNNNNNNNNNNNNNNNNNNNNNNNNNNNNNNNNNNNNNNNNNNNNNNNNNNNNNNNNNNNNNNNNNNNNNNNNNNNNNNNNNNNNNNNNNNNNNNNNNNNNNNNNNNNNNNNNNNNNNNNNNNNNNNNNNNNNNNNNNNNNNNNNNNNNNNNNNNNNNNNNNNNNNNNNNNNNNNNNNNNNNNNNNNNNNNNNNNNNNNNNNNNNNNNNNNNNNNNNNNNNNNNNNNNNNNNNNNNNNNNNNNNNNNNNNNNNNNNNNNNNNNNNNNNNNNNNNNNNNNNNNNNNNNNNNNNNNNNNNNNNNNNNNNNNNNNNNNNNNNNNNNNNNNNNNNNNNNNNNNNNNNNNNNNNNNNNNNNNNNNNNNNNNNNNNNNNNNNNNNNNNNNNNNNNNNNNNNNNNNNNNNNNNNNNNNNNNNNNNNNNNNNNNNNNNNNNNNNNNNNNNNNNNNNNNNNNNNNNNNNNNNNNNNNNNNNNNNNNNNNNNNNNNNNNNNNNNNNNNNNNNNNNNNNNNNNNNNNNNNNNNNNNNNNNNNNNNNNNNNNNNNNNNNNNNNNNNNNNNNNNNNNNNNNNNNNNNNNNNNNNNNNNNNNNNNNNNNNNNNNNNNNNNNNNNNNNNNNNNNNNNNNNNNNNNNNNNNNNNNNNNNNNNNNNNNNNNNNNNNNNNNNNNNNNNNNNNNNNNNNNNNNNNNNNNNNNNNNNNNNNNNNNNNNNNNNNNNNNNNNNNNNNNNNNNNNNNNNNNNNNNNNNNNNNNNNNNNNNNNNNNNNNNNNNNNNNNNNNNNNNNNNNNNNNNNNNNNNNNNNNNNNNNNNNNNNNNNNNNNNNNNNNNNNNNNNNNNNNNNNNNNNNNNNNNNNNNNNNNNNNNNNNNNNNNNNNNNNNNNNNNNNNNNNNNNNNNNNNNNNNNNNNNNNNNNNNNNNNNNNNNNNNNNNNNNNNNNNNNNNNNNNNNNNNNNNNNNNNNNNNNNNNNNNNNNNNNNNNNNNNNNNNNNNNNNNNNNNNNNNNNNNNNNNNNNNNNUAUAUAUAUAUAUAUAUAUAUAUAUAUAUAUAUAUAUAUAUAUAUAUAUAUAUAUAUAUAUAUAUAUAUGUAUAUAUAUAUAAUGACAAUAAUGAAUACAAAUGUCAUUUGAAAGAACUACAUUAUUUUACAUUGAAUCUUGUGUGUAACUUUCCACUUCUGCUAGGCUAUGAAAUAAUAUUUAAAAUUUUUUUUAACUUAAAUAUUCAAUUUUCAGAUGUCAUCUCAUUUAAUUAUUAAUAUUCACACUUUUUAAGUUAAAAUUUUGAAAUUUAGAUAUUAUCUCAUAUUCAAAUAAUAAUAUUGUUAAAUAAUUAAGUUUGAGAUAUCAUCUCAUAUUUAAAUGUCAAUAUUCACAAUUUUUAAAGUUAAAUACUAAAGUUUUAGAUAUUAUUCUUAUUCAAAUAUUAAUAUUUACGACUUUUUAAGUUAAAUAAUCAAAUUUGAGAUACCAUCUCAGAUUCAAAUAUUAAUAUUCACAAUUUUUAAAAUCAGAUAUUCAAAUUUCAAAUAUCAUCUCAUAUUCAAAUAUUAAUGUUCACAAAUUUUUAUGUUAAAUAUUUAUAAUUUUAGAUUAUGCUAUUAAUAUUCACAAUUUAUUAAGUCAAAUGUCUGUAAUUUUAACCAAACAAUAUACACACAAAACACAAAAGUAUUGAAAGAUUUGAAAAUAAUAUAAUAAUUUUAAAAUUUAAAACGUGGGUAUAUGUUUCUUAAUGAUUUUGAUUUAAAUAACAUUUACAUGUUUGGUAUUUGAAAAUAUUAAUUCCUUCUCCAAUAUUGUUCAAAGAAAUAUAACUUUUCUAAAUACUUUUUUCUUUAGUUGUUUUUUCAUGCUAAUUAUGCUCUUUUUUCUUUUACAGUCAUAUCAAUGACAAAUGGUAUAGACAGACCAAGAGAAUGUUUUAAAACUCGUGAGGGACAAUGCAUCCUUAAUGCGUGUGGAGCAUGGUGUUAUCAAAUUUAUAAGGGUUAUGGAACUUGUAUACAAGGUGGUACAGAUCCUAUUAACCCAAUUUAUAAAUGUAUUUGUAGAUAUAUUUGUUCCACCUAGAAUUAAAAACAUCACCUUUAGAUAUAUUUUAAAUGUAGAAGAUAUCAGAAUAAAGAUGAUAAAUUUGAGGCAAUUCAAUUAUUGAUAGUUUAUUUAAGUGUUUCUUAUAUUUAUUGUAAUUCAAGACAUAAAAAUAAAGAUAAUAUUGUUUUAUUUUAUGAAAUUUUGAUUAUAGUAUAAGCCUUUUAUCUCAAAAGUGUUGAAAAAAUAUAUAAGAAAACAAUAAAAAAAUUAUUUGAUUUAAUUUAAACUUUAAAAGUAAAGUCAAUCUCAAGAAAUAAUUAAAGUCUAAUCAUCCAACGAGGAAUACUCCAUGUUAGAGUUUUGAAUCAUGGUUCAUGGAGAUAUUAGAUUGAGAGGAAGAUGAUUGUUGGUUAACCUUUACAUUGUGUACGAGAUCCUAUUUAUACAAGUAGCAUUUUAAUGAUAGAGUUUGAUUCAUGUAGAAAUUUGUUACACGCUCUUAACUAAUUUUAUAACCCUAGUAACUAACUUCAUAAGAACAUUAACUACAAUUUUAACUACUUAAGCAAACUUACAUCUAACAUUUUUCCAAUACUCCCUCACAUACAUAUGGCGGAUGGAAUGAAAACACCUUGAGUUUGGUUCAAAAAUCAGAAAAUAAAGUAGUCGAGAGUGGUUUUGUUAGCGCGUCCGCAAUCUGAGAAUGAAUUGGGACAUGUUGAAUGAGUAGUCGUUUCUCUACCACUUUCUCAUUGACAAAGUGAAUAUAAAGCUCAAUAUCCUUCGUUCUUGCAUGAAGGAUUGGAUUAUGAGACGACAUUACAUCACUGAGAUUGUCACAUAACAAGGUGAGAACUAAGUAAGGAAUAUGUUGUCAUUACUGUAAAAUAAACCUUUCGUAACACUAAAUUACAACGGUCUGGCUGUUAACCGUGGUAAUACCAUAUUUUUUGACGUACUUUGUUUUUUCUAUUUACGAAAAAAACCUUGCACUACGGUUAAACUAAUUAACCAUGAUUAUAUAUUUUUGGAGUAACCGAGUUCGAAUCUCAGCUCCGACAAUUUUCUACUUUUUCGUUACAAUAAGUGUUGUCCUUAUAAUAUGAUAUAUAAAUUAAGAUUAAAAUACCUAUCACCAUGGUUGUUAAUGUCAACCAUUUUGAAAGUCAUUACAUAUCAUCACGAUUUUUGAAUACGACCGUGAUGAAAUUGUUUACUCAUAUAUAAGCGAAUUAGUUCUCACAGCAAAACCGUAACACACAUUUUCUCUCUUCUUCUUCGUCAUUAGCUUUUCUAUUCUACAGUAUAACCUCAAUCUUGUUCUUCAUAAAUAAACAUAUUCUUCUUCUUCCUUGUUCUCUCGUUUUCGUGUAUGUUGUUGUUAUGUUUCACAUUAUUUUCACAUAAUUUUCUUCUUUUUCGAGAGUUUAUGGUUUUUUUAUGUUGUUGUUGUUGUUGUAUGUUAUAUUAAAAAAUGGUUUUCUCUUCUUGUUCAAAUUUCAGAUCAUUCUCUCAGAUUUCAGAUUCUUCUCUCAACAUGAAUAUUGGGAGCAAUAAGCUUAUCCACGAGAUUAAGGUUACAAAUGAGGUUAUUGAUAUGUUUGAGUUAUGGCUGAACAAAGCCAAGGAAGUCAGAGUUGUUAGAGAUCAUAUUAGUGUUAUUGAACCGUCUGGUGGAAUAGACUCUAAGAAGAUUCUUUUCAAGAAUCUUAACCUUGAAAAGAUGAAGAAGAUAUAGGCUAUUAUGAAAGAUCUAAUGAAUAUGGAUGCAACUGACUCUGAAUCAGAUUAUGAAUCAGAUGAUGACCUUGAGAACAAUGAAGACAUUGAGAAUUGCACGAAUUUAACUAGACAUGAAGAUUGAAGACCUUAUUAUGUUUGACAUGAAUUGCACGAAUAAUGUUAAGUCAUUUUAAUGAUUUUGUCACUCAAAUGAGAUCUAUAAUCAUAACAUGCAUAAAUACACUUGUUAUGGUAAACAUGAUCUUAGUUCACCUUCUUGUUUUAUAAGGAAAAAUCAUGAAACUAGUAUGAAAGGGACUUCUAGAAAUAGAAUGGUUUUCAGUAGUUCUAAGGCAAAAUGACUAAAAAAUGAUUUGUCUACCAAAGAUCAAAGACAUAUGUUUUGAUACAUGUUUGUUUUAAACUCGAACUCAAAAUGGUAUAUCAAUAGUAAUUGUUCAAAACACGUGACAAAAACAAAAAUAGUUCAUUAUCUUUUACUCCAAGAAGGUGAUGCUAAAAGUUAUUAUGGUAACAAUAAUAAAGGUAAAUGUGUUGGUUCUAACACGUUGGAUAAGAGUUCAAAUCUUACUUUUGAGUUUUUUUUUUUAAUUUUGAAAAUAUAUAACAAAAUUUACUUAGUAUUAAGAAAAUAGUGUGAUAUAUUUCCGGAUUGGAAAACAAUUUUUUUAAUAAAUCUUUUUCAAGAAAAAAAAUAUCAUGUCUAUACAAAAAUUCAUACAUAAUACAUUUGAUGGAACAAACCUCAUUUGUUUUAGAAUUAAAUUUUUUUGUUUUUGUAGAUAGACUAAGAACAAACUUCUUAGAAGAUAAAUACAAAAAUAAGGAAGAACAAACACAAAUAAGGAGAGUGGUUAAAACCAACCCUAAAUAAAUGCUAAGGCUAUUGAAAAUCUAGAAGUGAAUGUUCCAUUUCAAAACAUCAAUCAUGGUUGCGUCUAUAAAUCAUUGAAAUUUUUAUUUUAACAUACCUCUGACAUAAACACAUCAUUCACAUAUUUAAAUCACUUAGCAUUUAGUUUCAUCACUUUAUGAGUUGUUUCAUUUACACAAUAGGCUGUGCCUCUGAUUGUUUUUGUUUUUGUUUGUUUUUUCUUUCAAAUUCUUUGAUUUUGUUUUGUAAAUUUCUCUUAUCAUAUUUGACUUCUUGAAUGAUAACUUUCAUUUGUGUUUUGUCAUAUUUGUUAGAGGAUUAUCAACAAACUUGAUUGAGAUUUAUUUAUUUAUUUUAGACACUUGAUGAUUUACCUAACUGAUACAUUUCUUGAAUGAGUAGUAAGGGUAUUAUUAUUAUUAUUAUUAUUAUUAUUAUUAUUAUUAUUAUUUUGUUUGUGUUCUUUGUUAGAUGAUUGUGGCCCUUUUUGAAUUUUUUGUUAUUGUUGAAAUUAUGAGUGGAAGUGAAAUAACUCCAUAUUCUUCUAGAAGUGCUUCUAUCAUGGAAGACUUUACAAAAAUACUGAAUACUUAACUGAAUUGCUUGAAAAUAAAAUAGCUUAUCAAUUAAAGAGCCGUGAUAGUGCAUUAUGAAAAAUAUUUUCAAAAAUUUCAAGGAGAGAAGGAGAUGUGUAGCUAGGCAAUUUGAUGAUUAAGAUGAACUAAAAUAAAUUUUGAGAAAGACAUAUACACCAUCUCAUUAUUAAAGGGAACUCCAUAAAAAAAUCCACUAUAACAUAAGGUUUCAAGAGUGUGGAGAAUUACUAUAGAGACUUUGAGAAUCCACUAUAACAUUAGAGAGGAUAAAGAUAUUAUAAGAGUUAGGUUUAAACUAUGAGAUUAAAGAUGUUAUUGAGUUUUAUUCAUAAAUAUUAAGAAUUUUGUUCAUAUGUCAUCCACUUGUAAACAACAAAUAAAGGGAAAAAGUACUUAUAAAAGUAUUCCUCAAACAAGAAAUCAUCACAUUGAAAGGACAAACACAAGAGGCAGGAGAUUCUACACUAACAUUGGCUAAGAAAGAUAAGUUUUUUAAACUUAAAGAUCCACCCUCUAGUUCAUCUUAUAAUUUUUCAAUGAAAUGUCUGAAAUAUUUAAGAAAGGUCACAUAAAAUCAAAUUACUCAAAAAAAAAACAUUGAUUGAAAAGAAAAAUAGUACUUAUUAUGCCACAUAAACAGGAAAUUUAAAUAAAAUAAAAUUCAUCAAGAGAAAUAAUUAUUUUUAUUAAAUGGGAGGUUAAAAAUAUUAAAAUAGAUUGUAAAGAUAAUAAAUCUUCCUUUCUUUGCAAUUAUUGAAACUGAAAAAAUAAACCAAAGUAACAAUUUUGUCAAGGUUAUGUAGAUUCCGAUUUUGAGUUGAUCCAGUAAAAAUUGAUUUUAGUAGGGAAGAUCACAAUUUGAUUUCCUACCCUUGUAAUUAAAGAAGAGUUAGAAUUUUUUGAAGUCAAAAUUUAUCUCUAAACUGAAUUUAUUGAUCCAGUAAAUCGGAUAUUAAUGGUGGAAAAAAAUAAUAACUAUGCGACAGUUUUGUUAUGCAUUUAACAAUUUAACAGUUUGUCUCUUAAGUCAAUUCAAGUUAAUGUUAGAAAUUAUAAUAACGUAUAAGGUAUAAAAAAGUUUGUAAAGAGUAUAAUGAAUAGAAAAAUAGGUUAUAAUUUUGUUCUAUAUAAACCAUUGAAACUAGUUUAUCCAUAACAUUUCUUUUUCCUGAUUAUAUUAUUUUGAAGCUUUUUGAAAUGGCCAAGUAUUCUUUCAUGCUAAUUAUCUUUUUUAUCUUCAUAUUUUCAGGUAUAUUAUUUCUUGUCUAACCUUUUGUAUAUAUAUUCGCCUUAGUUCCUCCGUUUCAGAACUAUUAAUAUUUGACUCUCUUCCUAGUCUUGCCCCGUGUGACUGAUGGUGUUUAAAAAUUUAAAAGGUACGAAGCACAGAGUACAUAUUUAUAUAUUUAGGUUAGCUGUGUAGCAGAGCCCGACAUAUAUCGGUGCUUCGCAUUUGUAUGGUUCUUGAUUUUGUUACUUUCUAUUUUGUUUAUGACAUCAUUCAUAUAUUUACAUAUUUAUAUGGUUCUUGAUUUUGUUAUUUUGUUGCAUUAUCAUUAGGGUCCGAAUAUAUUGAGAAGGUGAGAGUAAUGUGGAACAAGAUAAAACAAAAUAAUUUUAGGAUUAUGGUAUGUUUGUUAUAUUAGGUUUCAUUAGCAUCAGAAUCUGAAUCCUUUGGUUUAUUUCUAUCGUUGAAAUAAUAUGCAUCGGUAGAAUCUUGUUGGAAUUCAUUUUGAUUUCUUUUUAUUUGCGAAUGGUAACUUAAGCGAAACUGAAUCAUGGAAUUUUAUAGAUAAUGUUCAAUUUCGUUGGUAGAACUUGUUCAACGAAUCUGAAGCACGAGUUUCUAUUAAUCCUGUUGAGACGAGCUAGUUAGAUAUGACUAGUUGACUUAAGAAAAAAGUUACUACAAUAUUUUAUAUAUGACUGGUUUUGCAUUAUUGUUUGUGUUUAUCGGACGUGAGAGUUAUUUUUUUCUAAACGCAGCAUACAAAAUCACUCACAUAUGUUUUGUGAGCAUCAUACUCAAUUAAAGUGUAGAAUCCAAGUAUAGAUCUAAAUGAAGAUAACUACAUUCACACACACACGAUGGUGGGGUCUGGUUAGUAGUUAGCCUAUAUUAAAAGUCAAUAUCAUGAAUAUGAAAAGUCAUACCAACUGAUUCAUUGAUUCAUUUACUCCAUAAUGUUGAAAAAGUACUUGCAGUUAACUACAAAGAACAUGAAAAAGUAUCAUUAUAAAAACAGAAAAUUUGGUUUAGAGUUCUUCAAAGUUUCUAUUUAUUAGUACCAUAUAUAUUAUUAUUAUUAUUAUUAUUAUUAUUAUUAUUAUUAUUAUUAUUAUUAUUAUUAUGAAAGUAAACUGAUAUUUGUAUCCAAAACAAAGAUAAAUUGUGAGUGCCCUGAUUUAGGUUAGAGAUAAUCAGGUUAGAGAUACAUUAUUAAGCGAUUUUGCACAAAGCGAUUUUGCACAAAUUCUGUUUUAUUUAUACAAGGGAUUUUAUUUUUACAGGAAAUGUCAACAAAAGGAUCAUCUAAACUAAAGACUUUGUGCACAUUGUGGAAAGAUUUAGAUGAACCUUUUAAAGCAUAGAUUAACAAUAGAAUAGAAAAUUAUGGUGAAGGUUAUAAACUCUUAAGAGUUUUAAGGCUUGUCCAAGAUAACUCAUGUGAAUUUUCAACAUCAUUGUUUGGAUUGUUCAUGAGUUAUUAUGGACUCCAAGAAAAUUAUUAUUGUUUUCAUGUUUGUGGUCAAAACAUGAACGUCACAUUGGAGGACGUUCUGUUUUUGACCAACUUGCCCAUUACGGGUCGAGCACUUAUAUCUUGAAGCAAUAGAGACCAUAUGGCUUUUAACAGAAUUUUUUCUUUACCUGUCACUCAUAAACUUAAGUUAACAGUGUUGAAAUUUUUUUGCUGCGAUAUUAAUAAAAAUGAUGAUGAUAGGAUUAAGGUCGUCAUCCUCAUGAUCGUGUCAUGUCUGAUCAUUCCAAGUGGGGAUGGACAAAAUUUCAAAACCACCUACGUCCAAUUUAUUGAAAAAUUUGACGAAGUUGACUCCUAUGCUUGGGGAGCGGCAAUAUUGUCCCAUCUAUAUCAAGGUCUGAAGGAGAAUAAUUUACGGAAUAAGAAAGUUGACGGCUUUGUAUGGCUGAUAAUGGUAAGUGCAUAUUUUUUCUUAUAUCUUCUUUUUUCUUACCUCUUUGUUUGAUAACUUUUUAACCAACUUUAUUUUCAUAGAGAUUCUUCAUUUAUCAUUUUAAAGGUCUUUAUGAAAUCCUCAAUAUUAAUGCAAUUAAUGCGGAGGAAGAUCAUAUGCCUAAUACGCCACUAUUGGCAUAUUUGAUAAAAGAUAUUUUCAAACUCGGCCAAAACCGCCACACAAAACCUCAUCAUCAAUUAGGACAAAAGUUUCAGUUGAUACGUAACUUCUUGGAUAUGGAUCAUGAGGUAAGAAAUGAUUUAUAUAGCUUAUGUAGGUUGUGAUUUUGUGGGAUAAUGGUUGGUUAAUUUUUAGAUCAGUUGAUACGUAACUUCUUGGAUAUGGAUCAUGAGGUAAGAAAUGAUUUAUAUAGCUUAUGUAGGUUGUGAUUUUGUGGGAUAAUGGUUGGUUAAUUUUUAGUUUGUUAUCUUUAUCUUUUGUUUAUUGUAUAACACAGGAUAUAGAAAAUUUUCCUAUUACUUGGCAUCCCUAUACUGAACAAAUGCUGCCUCCCGACCUGCAUGAUCAUAUUCAAUACCGUACUAUCGUCGCCCCAUUGUUUUGCUACAACCAUGUGGAGCCUUAAUAUCCAAAUGUUGUAGCAAAACAGUUCGAGGAACUUUAUGAUAUUAACUUGAUCGGUGUUGGAUCUGAUAUGUGAGUGAUUAUUUCAAAGGGAAAUAAAGGAAAUAAUCCCAUCAAUUUUAAAGCACAUUUUAAAAAAGAGCUGAGACAAUGGGAGGAUAUCGAUAGGCGGUAUGCACAAAACUUCCAGACUAUUGAAGCAUCAACUUCUGAGACGGCAGAUGAUAUUGAAGCAUCCACUUCCGAGACGGCAAGUGAUCACCAAUCACCCAAUAUUGAGAAUAGCACUAGUGGAGGUAAAAUAUUUAAUUAUGUUAUGGUUUUAGUUUACUUAUUACUAUUCAUUAGUGUGGUGCAUGUUAUCUUAUGAAUAUAUAAUUACGUUUUUAAUUAAGAAAAUGUUGUUUUUGAUUUGCCAAAUUUUAACAAUGUGAUAGAUGCAUGUGAGAUGUUGGUUGUUGAUUUUGAAAAAUAUGAGAUUACCAUACUAUCGUCGCCCCAUUGUUUUGCUACAACCAUGUGGAGCCUCAAUAUCCAAAUGUUGUAGAAAAACAGUUCGAGGAACUUGGUGAUAAUAACUUGACCGGUGUUGGAUUUGAUAUGGGAGUGAUUAUUUCAAAGGGAAAUAAAGGCAAUAAUCCCAUCAAUUUUAAAGAACAUUUUUAGAAAGAGCUAAGACAAUGGAGGGAUAUCGAUAGGCGGUUUGCACAAAACUUCCAAACUAUUGAAGCAUCCACUUCUGAGACGGCAGGUGAUAUUGAAGCAUCCACUUCCGAGACGGCAAGUGGUCACCAAUCACCCAAUAUUGAGAAUAGCACUAGUGGAGGUAAAAUAUGUAAUUAUGUUAAGGUUUUAGUUAUGAAUAAUGAUAAGUAAUCAGCAGUGCAUGUUAUCUUAUGAAUAUAUAAUUACGUUUUUAAUUAAGAAAAUGUUGUUUUUGAUUUGCCAAAUUUUAACAAUGUGAUAGAUGCAUGUGAGAUGUUGGCGGUUGAUUUUGAAGCAUAUGAGAUUACCGUACUAUCGUCGCCCCAUUGUUUUGCUACAACUAUGUGGAGCCUCAAUAUCCAAAUGUUGUAGCAAAACAGUUCGAGGAACUUGAUGAUAUUAACUUGACCGGUGUUGGAUCUGAUAUGGGAGUGAUUAUUUCAAAGGGAAAUAAAGGCAAUAAUCCCAUCAAUUUUAAAGCACAUUUUAAAAAAGAGCUGAGACAAUGGGAGGAUAUCGAUAGGCGGUUUGCACAAAACUUCCAGACUAUUGAAGCAUCCACUUCUGAGACGGCAGGUGAUAUUGAAGCAUCCACUUCCGAGACGGCAAGUGAUCACCAAUCACCCAAUAUUGAGAAUAGCACUAGUGGAGGUAAAAUAUUUAAUUAUGUUAUGGUUUUAGUUAUGAAUAAUGAUAAGUAAUCAGCGGUGCAUGUUAUCUUAUGAAUAUAUAAUUACGUUUUUAAUUAAGAAAAUGUUGUUUUUGAUUUGCCAAAUUUUUACAAUGUGAUAGAUGCAUGUGAGAUGUUGGCGGUUGAUUUUGAAGCAUACGAGAUUAUCGUACUAUUGUCGCCCCAUUUUUUUGCUACAACUAUGUGGAGCCUCAAUAUCCAAAUGUUGUAGCAAAAAAGUUCGAGGAACUUGAUGAUAUUAACUUGACCGGUGUUGGAUCUCAUUUGGGAGUGAUUAUUUCAAAGGGAAAUAAAGGCAAUAGUCCCAUCAAUUUUAAAGCACAUUUUAAAAAAGAGCUGAGACAAUGGGAGGAUAUCGAUAGGCGGUUUUCACAAAACUUCCAAACUAUUGAAGCAUCCACUUCCGAGACGGCAGGUGAUAUUGAAGCAUCCACUUCCGAGACGGCAAGUGAUCACCAAUCACCCAAUAUUGAGAAUAACACUAGUGGAGGUAAAAUAUUUAAUUAUGUUAUGGUUUUAGUUAUGAAUAAUGAUAAGUAAUCACCGGUGCAUGUUAUCUUAUGAAUAUAUAAUUACGUUUUUAAUUAAGAAAACUGUUAAUUUUUGAUUUGGCGGUCAAUUUUUAACAAUGCUCUAGAUGAUUAUGUGAGAUGUGGGCGGUUGAUUUUGAAGCUCCAUAUGAGAUUCCGGUAACAUAGCACUCCAAGCAUAGGAGUCAACUUCAUCCAAUUUUUCAAUAAAUUGGACGUAGGUGGUUUUGCAAUUUUGUCCAUCCCCACUUGGAAUGAUCAGACAUGACACGAUCAUGAGGAGGAUGACCUUGAUCCUAUCAUCAUCAUUUUUAUUUAUAUCGCAGCAAAAAAAUUUCAACACUGUUAACUUAAGUUUAUGAGUGGCAGGUAAAGAAAAAACUCUGUUAAAAGAAAUAGGGUCUUUAUUGCUUUCAAAUAUAAGUGCUCGGCCCGUAAUGGGCAAGUUGGUCAAAAACAUGACGUCCUCCAAUGUGACGUUCAUGUUUUGACCACAAACAGGAAAACAAUAAUAAUUUUCUUGUAGUCCAUAAUAAAUCAUGAACAAUUCAAACAAUGAUGUUGAAAAUUCAGAUGAGUUAUCUUGGACAAGCCUUACAACUCUUAACAGUGUAUAACCUUCACCAUAAUUUUCUAUUCUAUUGUUAAUCCGUGCAUUAAAAGGUCCAUCUAAAUCUUUCCACAGUGUGCACAAAGUCUUUAGUUUAGAUGAUCCUUUUGUUGACAUUUCCUGCAAAAGAAAAAUCCCUUGUAUAAAUAAAACAAAAUUUGUGCAAAAUCGCUUCGUGCAAAAUCGCUUAAUAAUGUAUCUCUAACCUGAUUAUCUCUAACCUAAAUCAGGGCACUCACAAUUUCAUCUUUGUUUUGGUAAAAUAUCAGUUUAUUUUCAUAAUAAUAAUAAAAUAAUAAUAGAUAUAAGAAAUAAUAUAAUAAUAAUGAUAAUAUAAUAAUAACAAUAAUAACUAAUAAAUAGAAACUUUGAACAACUCUAAACUGAGCGGGGUAUUCGUUACCUUUAGAUUUAUUGACUAAAUCAAAAGUAAGCAUACAAUUUGAGUCGUCACCGCACUUCUAUUAAGGUUAGAAAAGCGAACAAAAACCGAGAAGUUUUAUCAAAUCAAAACUAAUAAAAAAGUCAGAGAUCUGGGUAAGGGGGUUGGUUAUGCAAUGGGAAGGUUUUAAGGCACCCAAAACAUCCUAGUACUCUAAGGGAACCCUUUUUGCAAGAUGUAUUGUGGUUGGUAUUUGUGAAAAUAUUUGUGCAAACAGAGGAUGGGAGAUGAGAAAAGAAUAUACAUAUUUACAAUUUUGUUGUUUGAAUGGAUAAACCCAUUGUCUACGUACCAUCCACAAAGAUAGGAUCAAAACUAGUAGUUCGGGGUAAAAUCUCAAAGAUUGGUGAAUUGUUUGGACAAAGCCUUAAGGUCUUUUGUUAUCAAGGGAGAAAACUCAACCUAAACCAACAAUCCACCAUGUGAGGAGGGCUUCAACAUACUAGUGAGGGAUCCACCCUAAUAAUAAGUAUGGAAGACUUAUAUCCAAUCACUAAGGAUAAGGUGAGGUUACAUCAAACCACUAUGAUAACUCAAACCCAUGGCUAAUGUUUAUGAAAAAGUUUUAACAAGGUGGCCAUUGGAACCACAAAAACACUUUGAAAUGAGUUGUAUUUACAAGUUAGAAAUAUUUACAAAAUGUAGUCAAAGUACGAUUAAGGUUCAUUCAAGAUAAGUAUUAACGAAAAGGGUUUGAAAGAUCAAAGGCAUGUGGCCUAGGUUCUAGUUUUGAAAACAAUGUCAAUGUUUGCACAAAAUGAGUUGGCUUGGGUUAGAGUGAGGAGAGAAAGAAGGGCUAGUCUAAAACAUGCAAAGAUGAGAGAAGAGAUAAAACCCUUGAGUUCCUUUCUUGAGAUCAUAAAGUGAUUCAGAAAUGCUUCUUCCUUUGGACAUAGCAAGCAACAAGCAAUCAAAGUAAAUAUUAUAUUCAAGCCCCUAGGAUCUCCAUUUGACUUGUCUCUCUAAACUUGGCUAUUCAUGACAAUGGUCUUCUUACUAUCUCAAGUUUGGAUUCCCUAUCACACAAGAACAAACAAUCAAAAAGUUCACAAUGCAAUAAGAGGAAUGGACAAAGAGUGAAUUUAGAUUAGGGGUCAUUUCAAGUCAACUUCAAGAUUAAGCAUUCUAAAGGCAUGAGGCCUUGUUGCUCUUCAACAAGUUUAGCAUUCUAAAGGCAUGAGGUCUAGUUGCUCUUGAACUCCAUUAAGCAUAGGUAAAGUCCUAAUUCUGAGUCUUUCUCCUUUUUGCAUUGGGCUCACACAAACAAAGAUAAAACAAGCACAAGCAACAAUAUAUUACAUAAUAAUGUGCUCAAAUGAGCAAAGGGAAAAUGGCAGAAACAUAAAAUAUCAUCUCAAGUGAGCAAAGGGAAAAGGCAAUAUGAAUAAAUGAGCAAGAAAGUAAAUGCAUUAAGUAAAGAAAGAUCAUUCUUAAUUCCAACAUAUUACAAUAUGAAAAAAAAACAUCAGAUAAAACAAAAAUAUCUGCAGAACCAUAGAAAACAAAACCAUAGAAGGGAAAAUAGUAUCUUUAUCAUAUAGAUAGACCAUUAUAUUUUGGAUGUUGUGAAAAAUUGUUUCGUUGUCCCCUCUCAUCAGAUCAAUGAUUUAUUGGUGGAUAAGCCUAGAAUCUAUAGAUCAAUGAGGUUAAUAAAGUGAAUUACAAUUUAAAAGCUAAAAAUUCAUAUUUUUUUAAUUAGGUAUGGUUGCAUUUUUUGUUUCACACUUUAAUAUUACUAGAGAAAUAUGGAAGUCUGCUCAAGUUACCCAUGAUGGUACACACAAGAUUGAAGGGUUAGGAUUAACAUAUUAAUCAAUGGAAAAAUAAUAGCUUAGAAUGAAACCUCAAGAAAAUCUAAGAUAUGCAAAAUUGUUUCAUGCAUAUAUUACUUCACUUAAGAACUUUGAGUAAAUUUUUACAAUUUGGAUUUAACUAAAAAAAGUCCUUAGAUGUUUAAAGAUAUGGAGUCUAAAUAUUCGUCUUCUAUGAAUUUGACUACUCUAUUGGUAAAUUGCAUGAACACGAGACAUAACUAACAUAUUGCUGAACGAGAGAAGGUGGAAAAAAUACUUGCGCUAAGAUAUAAAGGUUAAAGAUAUGGAGUCAGAAAAUUAAAUUUCCAAAAUGAAAAUGAUGAAAACUUGGAUCUUCUAUUUUUUCAAAUUCAAAAAAUUUCCAUGGAAUAGAAAAUAAACCUCCAAACAUUCAAAAUCAAAGUAAAGAAAGAUCAUUCUUAAUUCCAACAUAUUACCAAUGUGAAAAAAAAACAUCAGAUAGAACCAAAAUAUCUGCAGAACCAUAGAAAAUUUUAAAUAUACAGAAUACCACAAAAAUCAAAAGGAGUUUAUGUUUAAUAGAUGAAAACAACAUUGACUCCUCCAAUGACCGAGAAAAAGGGAAGAAAGCAACUUGUCUUCCAUGGAAAAUCACAAAAAAAUAAAGUAAAUAUUAUAACUUUUCACUUUAUUUAUUUGCAUUCUUCUCAAUUUGUAAGAGUUAAAUAAUAAAUAAGUAAUUAAAAAACAUUGUUAUUGUGUCUAAAAGACUAUCUCCUCUAUUGAAAAUGAAAAUGAAAAUGAAAACUAGAAGAGGAAAUAAUUCGUCUUAAAGAGAAAAUAAUAAUUAAAAUUCAAGACAUCCCUCUGUUCCUUAUGAUAAUAAAUUUAAAAAUCUAUCAAAUGUGUAAAUUGCAAAGUGUUAGAUUUUAUUUUUUGAAAUAUUUCAUAACACACAUGAUAAAAUCAAUAAAGAGAAAGAUAAUUGGAAUAUCAUUUUAGAUAAUCAAAAUGGAAUUUUAAAGAUUUUGUAACUCAAAUGAGAUUGAUAAUCAUAAUGCAUAAAUACACUUAUUGUAAACAUGAUCUAAUUUCACCUCUUGUUUUAUAAGGAAAAAUCAUGAAACUAGUAUGAAAGGGACUUCUAGAAAUAGAAUGAUUUCGCUAGAAUAAGGCAAAAUGAUAAAAAAUGAUUUGUGUACCAAAGAUCAAGACAUAUGUUUUGAUAUAUGUGUGUUUUAAACUCAAAUUCAAAAUGGUAUAUCAAUAGUAAUUGUUCAAAGCAGGUGACAAAAACAAAAAUAGUCAUCAUCUUAUACUCCAAGAGGUGAUGCCAAAACAUUAUGGUGACAAAAUAAAGUAAAUGUGUUGGUUCUAGUAUGUUUGAUAAGAGUUCAAAUCUUACUUUUGAGUUGUAUUAUUUUGAAAGUAAUAUAACAAAUUACUAGUAUUAAAAAAAAGUGUGACAAUAGUAAUGACAUAUGCCUGAUUCUUCUAUGUGGAGAAUCAUAAAAUUGGAAAACAAUUUUAUUUUAAAGUAAACUUUUUUCAAGAAAAAGAAUAUCAUAUCUAUAGAAAAUUCAUACAUAAUACAUUUUAUAAAUAAACCUCAUAUUUAAACUAAGAACAAACUUCUUAGAAGAUAAAUAUAUAGACGAAGAAUAAACUUCUUAGAAGAUAAAUACAAAAAAAGAGAACAAAUGCAAUAAGGGACAACCUCAAAAGGGAGUGAUUAAGACCAACCCUAAAUAAAUGAUAAGGAUAUGAAAAUCUAAAAGUGAAUGUUCCAUUUCAAAUAUCAUCAUGGUUAUCUCUAUAAACAUUGAAAUUUUUAUUUUACUCUGACAUAAUCACAUCAUUCACAUAUUUAAAUCACUUAGCAUUUAGUUAUCACUUGUUUAAUAUACACAUUAGGGCGUGCCUAUGAAUGUUUUUGUUUUUGUGAUUUUGUUUCUUUCAAAUUCUUUGAUUUGUUUUGCAAAUUCUCUUGUCAUAUUUGACCUCUUGGAUGAUAACUUUCAUUUAUGUUUUGUCAUAUUUGCUAGAGAUUAUCACAAACUUGAUUGGAUUUGUUUAUUUAUUUUAGAACCUGAUGAUAUACAUAACUAAUACAUUUCUUGAAUGAGUAGUAAGGGCAUUAUUAUUAUUAUUUAUUAUUAUUAUUAUUAUUAUUAUUAUUAUUAUUAUUAUUAUUAUUAUUAUUUGUGUUCUUUCUUAGAUGAUUGUGGCCCUUUUUGAAUUUUUCAUUAUUGUCGAAAUUAUGGUGAAAGUGAAAUAACUCCAUAUUCUUCUAGAAGUGCUUCUAUCAUGGAAGACUUUACAAAAAUAUCGAAUACUUAACUGAAUUGCUUGAAAAUAAAAUAGCUUAUCAAUUAAAGAGCGUGAUAUUUUAAAAUUUCAAGGGAGAGAAGGAGAAUUCUAGCUAGGCAAUUUGAUGAUUGAGAUGAAUUAAAAUAAACUUUGAGAAAGACAUACAUCAUCUCAUUAUUAAAGGGAACUCCAUAAAAGAAUCCAAAGGAUAAUAAGUAAGGUCAAGAGUGGAGAGAAUACAUAGAGACUUUGAGAAUUCCACUAUAACAUUAGAGAGGAUAAGAUAUUAUAAGAGUUAGGUUUAAACUAUGAGAUUAAAGAUGUUAUUGAAUUUGUUCAUAAUUAUAGAAGUUUGUUCAUAUGUCAUCCACUUAAUAAAAUAUUCCUCAAACAAGAAAUUAUCGCAUUGAAAGGACAAACACAAGAGGGAGGAGAUUCUACACUAACAUUGGCUAAGAAAGAAGUUUUUAAAUGAAAUGUUUGAAAUAUUUAACAACGGUCACAUAAAAUCAAUUACUCAAAGAAAAAUAAUGAUUGAAAAAAAAGUACUUAUUAUACACAUAAAACGGAAAUUUAAAUAAAAUAAAAUUCGUCAAGGAAAUAAUUAUUUUUAUUAAAUUGGAGGUUAAAAAUAUAUAAAUAGAUUGCAAAGAUAAUAAAUUUCCUUUCUUUGCCGUUAUUGAAACUGAAAUAAUAAACCAAAGUAAUAAUUGAUGUUGAUUUUAGUAGAUAUCAUAAUUCGAUUUUUACAGUUGUAAUUAAAAAAAAUAUAGUUUUACGACAGUUUUGUUAUGCAUUUAACAGUUUUUCUCUUAAAUCAAUUUGAGUUAAUGUUAGAAAUUAUAAUAACGUAAAAGUUAUAAAAAAGUUGGUAAAGAGUAUAAUGAAUAGAAAAUAUGUUAUAAUUAUGUUCUAUAUAAACCCUUGAAACUAGUUUAAUCAUAAAUUUUUUUCCUGAUUAUAUUUUGAAGCUUUUUGAAAUGGCCAAGUAUUCUUUCAUGCUAAUCAUCUUUUUAUCUUCAUUUUUCAGGUAUAUUUUUAUAUUAAAAUUUGUAACAUUUAACUAUAUUAUUUUUAUAUUAAAAUUUGUAGCAUUUCUUAUCUAACCUUUUAUAUAUAUAUAUAUAAUAUAUAUAUAUAUAUAUAUAUAUAUAUAUAUAUAUAUAUAUAUAUAUAUAUGACAAUAAUGAAUACAAAUGUCAUUUGAAAGAAUACAUUAUUUUACAUUGAAUCUUGUGUGUAACUUCCCACUUCUGUUAGGCUAUGAAAUAAUAUUUAAAAAAAAAUUUAAGUUAAAUAUUCAAUUUUCAGAUGUCAUCUCAUUUAAUUAUUAAUAUUCACACUUUUUAAGUUAAAAUUUUGAAAUUUAGAUAUUAUCUCAUAUUCAAAUAUUAAUAUUGUUAAAUAAUUAAGUUUGAGAUAUCAUCUCAUAUUUAAAUGUCAAUAUUCACAAUUUUUAAAGUUAAAUACUAAAUUUUUAGAUAUUAUUCUUAUUCAAAUAUUAAUAUUUACGACUUUUUAAGUUAAAUAAUCAAAUUUGAGAUACCAUCUCAGAUUCAAAUAUUAAUAUCACAUUUUUAAAAUCAGAUAUUCAAAUUUCAAAUAUCAUCUCAUAUUCAAUAUUAAUGUUACAAAUUUUUAUGUUAAAUAUUAUAAUUUUAGAUUAUGCUAUUAAUAUCUCACUUUAUUAAGUCAAAUGUCUGUAAUUUUACACACAAUAUACCAACAAAACACAAAAGUAUUGAAAGAUUUGAAAAUAAUAUAAUAUUUAAAAUUUAAAACGUGGGUAUAUGUUUCUUAAUGAUUUUGAUUUAAAUAACAUUUAAUGUUUGUAUUUGAAAAUAUUAUUCCUUCUCCAAUAUUGUUCAAAGAAAUAUAACUUUUCUAAAUACUUUUUCUUUAGUUGUUUUUUCAUGCUAAUUAUGCUCUUUUUUUUACAGUCAUAUCAAUGACAAAUGGAUAGACAGACCAAGAGAAUGUUUUAAAACUCGUGAGGGACAAUGCAUCCUUAAUGCGUGUGGAGCAUGGUGUUAUCAAAUUUAUAAGGGUUAUGGAACUUGUAUACAAGGUGGUACAGAUCCUAUAACCCAAUUUAUAAAUGUAUUUGUAGAUAUAUUGUUGCCACCUAGAAUUAAAAACAUCACCUUUAGAUCAUAUUUUUAAAUGUAGAAGAUAUCAGAAUAAAGAUGAUAAAUUUGAGGCAAUUCAAUUAUUGAUAGUUUAUUUAAGUGUUUCUUAUAUUUAUUGUAAUUCAAGACAAAAAAAUAAAUAUAAGAUUGUUUUAUUUUAUGAAAUUUUGAUUAUAGUAUAAGCCUUUUAUCUCAAAAGUGUUGAAAAAUAUAUAACAAAACAAUGAAAAAAUUUAUUUGGUUUAAUUUAAUCUUUAAAAGUAAAGUCAAUCUCUUAAGAAAUAAUUAAAAGUCUAAUCAUCCAAUGAGGAAUACUCCAUGUUAGAGUUUUGAAUCAGGGUUCAUGGAGAUAUUAGAUUGAGAUGAAGAUGAUAGUUGGUUAACCUUUACAUUGUUUACGAGAUCCUAUUUAUACAAGUAGCAUUUUAGUGAUAGAGUUUGAUUCAUGUAGUAACUAACUUCAUAAGAACAUUAACUACAAUUUUAACUACUUAAGCAAACUUACAUCUAACAUUUUUCCAAUACUCCCUCACAUACAUAUGGCGGAUGGAAUGAAAACACCUUGAGUUUGGUUCAUUAACUACAAUUUUAACUACUUAAGCAAACUUACAUCUAACAUUUUUCCAAUACUCCCUCACAUACAUAUGGCGGAUGGAAUGAAAACACCUUGAGUUUGGUUCAAAAAUCAGAAAAUAAAGUAGUCAAGAGUGGUUUUGUUAGCGCGUCCGCAAUAUGAGAAUGAAUUGGGACAUGUUGAAUGAGUAGUCGCUUCUCAACAACUUUCUCAUUGACGAAGUGAAUAUAAAGCUCUAUAUCCUUCGUUCUUGCAUGAAGGAUUGGAUUAUGAGACAACAUUACAUCACUGAGAUUGUCACAUAACAAGGUGAGAACUAAGUAAGGAAUAUGUUGUCACUACUGUAAAAUAAAUCUUUCGUAACACUAAAUUACAACGGUAUGACUGUUAACCGUGGUAAUACCAUAUUUUUUGACGUACUUUGUUUUUUCUAUUUAUGAAAAAAACCUUGCACUACGGUUAAACUAAUUAACCAUGAUUAUAUAUUUUUGGAGUGACUGAGUUCAAAUCUCAGCUCCGACAAUUUUCUACUCUUUCGUUACAAUAAGUGUUGUCCUUAUAAUAUGAUAUAUAAAUUAAGAUUAAAAUACCUAUCACCAUGGUUGUUAAUGUCAAUCAUUUUGAAAGUCAUUACAUUUCAUCACGAUUUUUGAAUACGACCGUGAUGAAAUUGUUUACUCAUAUAUAAGCGAAUUAGUUCUCACAGCAAAACCGUAACACACAUUUUCUCUCUUCUUCUUCGUCAUUAGCUUUUCUAUUCUACAGUAUAACCUCAAUCUUGUUCUUCAUAAAUAAACAUAUUCUUCUUCUUCCUUGUUCUCUCGUUUUCGUGUAUGUUGUUGUUAUGUUUUACAUUAUUUUUACAUGAUUUUCUUCUUGUUCGAGAGUUUAUGGUUUUUUUAUGUUGUUGUUGUUGUUGUUGUUGUUGUAUGUUAUAUUAAAAAAUGGUUUUCUCUUCUUGUUCAAAUUUCAGAUCAUUCUCUCAGAUUUCAGAUUCUUCUCUCAAAAUGAAUAUUGGGAGCAACAAACUUAUCCACGAGAUUGAGGUUACAAAUGAGGUUAUUGAUAUGUUUGAGUUAUGGAUGAACAAAGCCAAGGAAGCCAGAGUUGUUAGAGAUCAUAUUAGUGUUAUUGAACCGUUUGGUGGAAUAGAUUAUAAGAAGAUUCUUUUCAAGAAUCUUAACCUUGAAAAGAUGAAGAAGAUAUAGGCUAUUAUGAAAGAUCUAAUGAAUAUGGAUGCAACUGAUUCUGAAUCAGAUUAUGAAUCAGAUGAUGACCUUGAGAACUAUGAAGACAUUGAGAAUUGCAUGAAUUUAACUAGACAUGAAGAUUGAAGACCUUGUUAUGUUUAACAUGAAUUGCACGAAUAAUGUUAAGUCAUUUUAAAGAUUUUGUCACUCAAAUGAGAUCUAUAAUCAUAACAUGCAUAAAUACACUUGUUAUGGUAAACAUGAUCUUAUUUCACCUUCUUGUUUUAUAAGGAAAAAUCAUGAAACUAGUAUGACAGGGACUUCUAGAAAUAGAAUGGUUUUCAGUAGUACUAAGGCAAAAUGACUAAAAAAUGAUUUGUCUACCAAAGAUCAAAGACAUAUGUUUUGAUACAUGUUUGUUUUAAACUCGAACUCAAAAUGGUAUAUCAAUAGUAAUUGUUUAAAGCACGUGACAAAAACAAAAAUAGUUCAUCAUCUUAUACUCCAAAAAGGUGAUGCUAAAACUAUUAUGGUGACAAUAAUAAAGGUAAAUGUGUUGGUUCUAAUAUGUUUGGUAAGAGUUCAAAUCUUACUUUUGAGUUGUUUUAAUUUUGGAAAGUAUAUAACAAAAUUUACUUAGUAUUAAGAAAAUCGUGUGACAUUUUUCCGGAUUCUACUACGUGGAAAACAACUUUUUUUAGUAAAUCUUUUUCAAGAAAAAAAUAUAUCAUGUCUAUAGAAAAAUUCAUACAUAAUACAUUUGAUGAAAUUACCCUCAUAUUUGUUUUGGAAUUAAAUUUUUUUGUUUUUGUAGAUAGACUAAGAACAAACUUCUUAGAAGAUAAAUACAAAAAUAAGGAAGAACAAACACAAAUAAGGGACAACCUCAAAAGGGGAGUGAUUAAGACCAACCCUAAAUAAAUGAUAAGGAUAUUGAAAAUCUAGAAGUGAAUGUUCCAUUUCAAAACAUCAAUCAUGGUUACCUCUAUAAAUCAUUGAAAUUUUUAUUUUACCAUACCUCUGACAUAAACACAUCAUUCACAUAUUUAUAUCACUUAGCAUUUAGUCUCAUCACUUUAUGAGUUGUUUCAUUUACACAUUAGGGCGUGCCUCUGAUUGUUUUUGUUUUUGUGCUUUUGUUUCUUUCAAAUUCUUUGAUUUUGUUUUGCAAAUUUCGCUUGUCAUAUUUGGCCUCUUGAAUGAUAACUUUCAUUUAUGUUUUGUCAUAUUUGUUAGAGGAUUAUCACAAACUUGAUUGAGAUUUGUUUAUUUAUUUUAGGAACUUGAUGAUAUACAUAAUUGAUACAUUUCUUGAAUGAAUAGUAAGGGCAUUAUUAUUAUUAUUAUUAUUAUUAUUAUUAUUAUUAUUAUUAUUAUUAUUAUUAUUAUUAUUAUUGUAGCGGGGUAUUCGUUACCUUUAGAUUUAUUGACUAAAUCAAAAGUAAACCAUACAAGUCGAGUCGCCACCGGACUUCUAUUUAUCCAAAGGAAAGAUUAGAAAGCGAACUAAAACCGAGAAGUUUUACGAAUCAAAAACUAAUAAAAAUGUCAGAGAUCGGGGUAAGGGGGUUGGUUAUGCAAUGGGAAGGUUUUAAGCACCCAAAACAUCCUAGGUACUCCUAGGGAGCCCUUUUCACACUUGUUGUAAGGUUGGUAUUUUGUGAAAAAUUUGUUUGUGCAAACAUGAUUGAGGAGAUGAGAAGAGAAUAUACAAGUUAUUUACAAUUUGUGUUUGGAUGGAUAAACUCAUUGCAUACGUACCAUCUUAAAAAAGAUUAGGAUCAAAACCUCAUAGUUCGGGGUAAAAAUCUCAAAACAAGUUGGUGAAUUGAUUGGGUCCAAAAGCCUUAAGGUCUUUUGUUAUCCAAGGGAGAAAACUCAAGCUAAAAACCACAAAUCCACCAUGUGAGGAUAACUUCAACAUGCUAGUGAGGGGUUAACCCUAUAAUAAGCAUGGAAGACUCAUUGUCCAUCACUAAGAAUAUAUGUGAGUAUUACAUCUACCUCAAGGAUAACUCAAACCUAAUAGCUAAAGGUUAAGAAAAGUUUUUGAUAAGAAAGUGGCCAUUGAAACCACAAAAGUAUUUGUAUGGGUUAUAUUUACCAAUGAAAAGUAUUUACAAAAUAUAUGGUCAAAGUUGACUUAAAGAUUCAAUUCAAAAUAAGUGUUAUGAAAAGAAAGUUUGAAAAUCAAAAGCAUAAUGCUUAGGUUUCUAAUGUUUGAAAACAAGUGUUAAUAUUUGCAAAAAAGUUUUGGCUUGGGUUAGAGUGGAGGGAAGAAGAAGAAUGGCUAAAGUCUUAAUCAUACAAGAGAUGAAGGAGAAUAAAUAAGACCACAAAUGGAGUUCCCUUCUUGAGAUCAUAUUGAUGAUCCAAGUAGCUCCCAUCCUUUGGAAUAAGCAAACAAAUAAGUAUAAACUCAAGCAAUCAAUCAAGCAAGCAAGCUCUUAGAAGAUCCCCAAUAGCUCUUAGAUCUCUUCUCUUUAGAAGCUCAUGACAAUGGUUCUUCAAUUUGGCUCAAAUAGGAUUCCCUAGCACAAAAGCACACACAUCAAAAAGUUCCAUGAAGUAAAUCAAGAAUGGACAAGAGUGAGUUUAGAGAUUUGGUCCUUCUAAUCCAUCUAUUCAAUUUGGCUCAAAUAGGAUUCCCUAGCACAAAAGCACACACAUCAAAAAGUUCCAUGAAGUAAAUCAAGAAUGGACAAGAGUGAGUUUAGAGAUUUGGUCCUUCUAAUCCAUCUUCAACAUUUAGGCAUUUUUACUCCAUUUUUGCAUAGGGAAUGUCCUAGAAUCUAAGUCCUUUUUGUCCAUUUUGGUCCACAACAAUCAAAACAAAAGCACAAGCACAAUAAUAUAUACAACAUUAUAUGCUCAAGUGAGCAAAAGGCAAAUUGCAUUAACAUAAACAUGUGCUCAAAUGAGCAAAGGGCAAAAGCAAAUAAAUAAUAUGUACAAGAAUAGUAAAUUGCAUAAAUGUAAAGUGCAAGAAUUAAAUGUUAAUGGUUAAUGGUUAGUGUUAGAGUUAGUGUGCCAUAAGGCAAUUUAACGCUAUGUUAAGCAAUCGUAAUUGGACUUAUGUAGAAGUCACAACUAUCUGAGACCGGUCAAUAAUAAUGUAGGAAACAACACAAGUUAGAGAUUUUGAUUAGUGAAUCAAACUCCUACAACUUGCCAUGCCAAAAAGAAGAUGAGAAAUGAUCUUGUAUUGAUUUAGGUUCUUUGCUUGAUUAGGAAGCAACCUACACUUAAUGCAAAUUCAUUCACUUGAUCCAUGAUCAAGAUGAAUUAGAUUUGAAUCAAGGAAGGUUAGACCUCCCAUACAUCAAGGCUAACCACCAAUCUUUAACUCAUUGAUCAAAAAAGAAAAACAAGAAGAAGAAAAAGAAGAAGAAGAUGAAUAUUAAAGUACAUUAAUGGAAAUGAAAUGAAAUAAUCAACAAACAUUGACCAAGGAUAGAGAAGAUCAAGGUCAAACAAUGGUAAACAGAGGCAAAAUGGAGAUUAGAAGUCAAGAAACAAAUAAAAUUUUUUUGAUAUUUUUUAAAAGUAAAAUAAUACUUGAAUUGAAAUAAUAAAGAAAGGUCAAACUUCAAAAUCACUUCAAAUCAACUUUGAAAAGUCCAAGUGAAUUAUCCUAAAUUCAACAAGGUCAAACAAAGUUUGACAAAAAAUUUCAGCAUUUUUAGAAGUCAGAAACUAUUUUUAAUCAAUUAAAAAUGCAUAUAAAUAACCUAAUUGAAUUAAAAUCUCAAAUCAAUUAAUAAAUUGAUGAGAAUAUUUUUCAUAGAUCUAUCAUCAUUCAAAGAGGUUGGAAAAAUAUUUUUGUAUUUUUUGAAUAUCAAAAACUAUUUAAUUAAAAUCUCAAAUCAAUUAAUAAAUUGAUGAGAAUAUUUUUCAUAGAUCUAUCAUCAUUCAAAGAGGUUGGAAAAAUAUUUUUGUAUUUUUUGAAUAUCAAAAACUAUUUUAAAUGAAUUAAAAAGAACCAGAAAAAGAGAAAAUUCCUAAAAAAAUAUCAAAUGAUAAAAUAAAAAAAAUUAAAAAUCACUUUUGGAAACUAGAAAUUAAAAGAAGAAAAAUGCAAUUGGUCUCACAUUUUUUGGACCAAUAAUGGAGGAGAUAUGAAUUUUUUAAAUGAAAUGGAAUUAAAGAAAUAAAAAGAAAUUAAAAUAAGAAAUUAAAAUAAUGAAAAAAACGUGGAGCGUUGGAUGCAAAGCUCAUUAAUUGAGCUGGAAAAUCGCUUGGUCCACAUAUGCGUGCCUACCAUGUACCUUAGUCAAUGUAAUCACACUUGGCCUUUAAACAAGUCAUAACAUUGAGUGACCUGGAUUAAAUCUGGAAAAGCAAAUGCACGGUUCAGAUUCAAUCUGGAGACCAGACGGUGGUGUACACCACCGUCUUCAUCCGGCCAACUUCCGGCACUGGUCAAAUUUGCAGAGAAAUAAAUGUGCAUGAAAAGCCACGAUCCAGGUACCAAACGAAAGCUGGGGUGAUGUACAUCACCCCUAUGCCAACCAAAUCCACUCUAGAUUCCUAUUGAGAGAGAAAUCAGAGGUUGAAUUUCAUGGAGUUCAACUGAAACUUGUUGGAUUUUGAAAUUUCAAAGCUCAAAAAGAUUGCCUCUAUGAAGAGGACUUCAAACAACACAGCAACAACAAGAAACAAGCAAUAUAUUAGUGGAUUCGAAGAAAAUAAAAUCUGAAGUAAACCUCUGAUUUGCAGAGUUUGAGAGCACGAUUUCUUGGUGAUUAAGCUUGCAGUGUGAUCUAUGGAUUAAGGUAAGCAAGGCUAAGGAACUUUAGAUCUAAAAAUCAAUAAAUGAAAUUGAAGUUUAGAUCUGAAAAAAUUGAGAGAAAAUGGUGAGUUCCUUUGAUUAUGGGUGAGGAAUCAACCGUGCAGCAUGUAAGGCGCCUUCAGGUUAUUGAAAUGAGGAGCAUAAGGCACUUAUUUAUAGCAAAAGGCAUGGCUGAAAGCAUGAUCAUUUCAUUGCAUGGAUGGAAAGGGCCUCCAUGCAUGGGCCUGUACAGGCGCAUGGAGGGCCCAAUUCCACUUGAAUUUGCAAGCUAAUCAUCAGCAGAUGUAAAUUGGACGUGCAGAUGGUGUAUGUUAGGUCAUGCAAUGCAAAUUUAAUUGAUUUUCAAAAAUGCACCAAUAUGUUCAUGCUUUCGAAAAUGCCAUGUCCAUACUUGAAACACAACCUUAUGAGUAAUGGUUGGACAACUUUUUGCAUGAGGAUCAUUUGUUAUGUUGAUCAAAACUUCAUUUGAAACUUGGAAAUUGAUGAAAAAUGAUCAUGAAGUGUAGGGUGCAAAACAUGUACAUGUGAAAACUUCAAAAAUGGUCAAACUUUAAGCAAUCCUGUUUCAAUGAUGCAAGCUCCAAAUGAUAAAAUCUUCAACAUCAAAGUUGUAGAUAUUUUCAAGACAAUAAAUAUGGACUUAUAUUUUGCAUCAUUUAUAUUUUUGAUGAAGAAGUUAUGGGCACUUGAAGUUGGACUUUUUCACAUUUCAAUGCUUUUGGUUCAAAGUGACCUAUAAUGUUUUGCAUUAUCACAUGUAUUUCUUUUAGGAUUUUGAAAUUUUGCUCAACAUAACAUUUUAAGUAGACAACUUAAUCUUUCCAAUUCAUUUAAUAUCACCUCAAAAUCAUGAAAAAUGAAGGAGCUAUGUCCUUGGGAAGUUGACCCAAAAUUAGGGUUUUAGUCAAAAAUGACCUAUAAUGUUUUGAAAUGGAUGAUGACCUUCCAAGCUUCAAAUAAUUUUUAUGAACAUGAAAGUUGUUCAUAAGAUUCUUAAGAACAUUGUUUCUCUUGGGGUUACUCCAUUUGACAAACACAUUAAAAGUUAGGUCUCAGUGUACUUCAAAAUAGUCAUAUGAAUUGACUGAUCAACUUCUCAAGUCUACACCUCAUACUCUUGAUGAAUUGAUGAUUGAGGAUACUCAAGUAGUUCAAAUAUGCAUGAAAUGAUGAUUUAAAGAACUUCCCUUGAUUGCAUUUGAUCAUAGGUUGAGGUUGCUUCAUGAGCAACGCAUAGUUGAUGAACAGAUAAAUUACGGCUUCCUUGGGAAACAAACCUCAAACCCUUUGGUUUGCUUUGAUCAAAAUUAUGAAUUGAGAUACUUGGGAGGCAUAUUUGAUGUAUGAGAGCUUUGGGAACCAUUGACAUGCUUGCUUUCAUCUUCCCUUGACUAUAUCAGUGCACCUAGGAUCUCCUAGAAGUUUUGGAUCUUGUGACUGCUCAAGCUACAAACAAAAGAUGUUAGUGACAUAUUUUUGUGUUUUUGGUUAGUGAAUAAAAUGAGAGAAGCAAUAAUAUACAAUUCAAGUAUGCUUGGUGAUCUCAAACCAAUUCUCAAAAGUUCCCACCCCAAAGGUAAGAAGCCAAGAUGCUUAUGAUCCUUGAGGCAAAAUGCAAAUGCAAUGAUAUGAUGCCAUGAGGGAUCUUAGGGUCAAAAUUGGGAUCUUACAAUUAUUAUUAUUAUUAUAUUGUUUGUGUUCUUUGUUAUAUGAUUGUGGUCCUUUUUGAAUUUUUUGUUAUUGUUGAAAUUAUGAGUGGAAGUGAAAUAACUCCAUAUUCUUCUAGAAGGGCUUCUAUCAUGGAAGACUUUACAAAAAUAUUGAAUACUUAACUGAAUUGCUUGAAAAUAAAAUAGCUUAUCAAUUAAAGAGCCGUGAUAGUGCAUUAUGAAAAAUAUUUUCAAAAAUUUCAAGGAGAAAAGGAGAUGUGUAGCUAGGCAAUUUGAUGAUUAAGAUGAAUUAAAAUAAAUUUUGAGAAACACAUAUACAUCAUCUCAUUAUUAAAGGGAACUCCAUAAAAAAUCCACUAUAACAUAAGGUUUCAAGAGUGUGGAGAAUUACUAUAGAGACUUUGAGAAUCCACUAUAACAUUAGAGAGGAUAAAGAUAUUAUAAGAGUUAGGUUUAAACUAUGAGAUUAAAGAAUGUGGAGAAUUACUAUAGAGACUUUGAGAAUCCACUAUAACAUUAGAGAGGAUAAAGAUAUUAUAAGAGUUAGGUUUAAACUAUGAGAUUAAAGAUGUUAUUGAGUUUUAUUCAUAAAUAUUAAGAAGUUUGUUCAUAUGUCAUCCACUUGUAAACAACAAUUAAAGAGAAAAAGUACUUAUAAAAGUAUUCCUCAAACAAGAAAUCAUCACAUUGAAAGGACAAACACAAGAGGCAGGAGAUUCUACACUAACAUUGGCUAAGAAAGAUAAGUUUUUUAAACUUAAAGAUCCACCCUCUAGUUCAUCUUAUCAUUUUUCAAUGAAAUGUUUGAAAUAUUUAAGAAAGGUCAAAUAAAAUCAAAUUACUAAAAAAAACAUUGAUUGAAAAAAAAAAUAGUACUUAUUAUGCCACAUAAACAGGAAAUUUAAAUAAAAUAAAAUUUAUCAAGGGAAAUAAUUAUUUUUAUUAAAUGGGAGGUUAAAAAUAUUAAAAUAGAUUGUAAAGAUAAUAAAUCUUCCUUUCUUUGCAAUUAUUGAAACUGAAAUAAUAAACCAAAGUAACAAUUUUGUAAUCAAGGGAAAUAAUUAUUUUUAUUAAAUGGGAGGUUAAAAAUAUUAAAAUAGAUUGUAAAGAUAAUAAAUCUUCCUUUCUUUGCAAUUAUUGAAACUGAAAUAAUAAACCAAAGUAACAAUUUUGUCAAGGUUAAUAUUGUAGAUUCCGAUUUUGAGUUGGUCCAGUAAAAAUUGAUUUUAGUAGGGAAGAUCACAAUUUGAUUUCCUACACUUGUAAUUAAAGAAGAGUUAGAAUUUUUUGAAGUCAAAAUUAAUCUCUAAACUGAAUUUAUUGAUCCAGUAAAUCGGAUAUUAAUGAUGGAAAAAAAUAAUAACCAUGCGACAGUUUUGUUAUGCAUUUAACAAUUUAACAGUUUGUCUCUUAAGUCAAUAUAAGUUAAUGUUAGAAAUUAUAAUAACGUAUAAGGUAUAAAAAAGUUUGUAAAGAGUAUAAUGAAUAGAAAAAUAGGUUAUAAUUUUGUUCUAUAUAAACCAUUGAAACUAGUUUAUCCAUAACAUUUCUUUUUCCUGAUUAUAUUAUUUUGAAGCCUUUUGAAAUGGCCAAGUAUUCUUUCAUAUUAAUUAUCUUUUUUAUCUUCAUUUUCUCAGAUAUAUUAUUUUUUGUCUAACCUUUUGUAUAUAUAUUCGCCUCAGUUCCUCUAUUUCAGAACUAUUAACAUUUGACUCUUUUCUUAGUCUUGUUCAGGUGACUGAUGGUGUUUACAGAUUUAAAAGGUACGAAGCACAAAGUACAUAUUUAUAUAUUUAGGUUAGCUGUGUAUGUCGGUGCUUCGCAUUUGUAUGGUUCUUGAUUUUGUUACUUUCUAUUUUUUUUAUGACAUCAUUCAUAUAUUUACAUAUUUAUAUGGUUCUUGAUUUUGUUAUUUUGUUGAUGACAUCAUUCAUAUAUUUACAUAUUUAUAUGGUUCUUGAUUUUGUUAUUUUGUUGCAUUAUCAUUAGGGUCCGAAUACAUUGAGAAGGUGAGAGUAAUGUGGAACAAGAUAAAACAAAAUAAUUUUAGGAUUAUGAUAUGUUUGUUAUAUUAGGUUUCGUUAGCAUCAGGUUCUGAAUCCUUUGGUUUAUUUCUAUUGUUGAAAUAAUAUGCAUAGGUGGAAUCUUGUUGGAAUUCAUUUUGAUUUCUUUUUAUUUGCGAACGGUAACUUAAGCGAAACUGAAUCAUGGGAAUUUUACAAAUAAUGUUCAAUUUCGUUGGUAGAACUUGUUCAACGAAUCUGAAGCACGAGUUUCUAUUAGUCCUAUUGAGACGAGCUAGUUAGAUAUGACUAGUUGACUUAAGAAAAAAGUUACUACAAUAUUUUAUAUAUGACUGGUUUUGCAUUAUUGUUUGUGUUUAUCAGAAGUGAGAGUUAUUCUUUUUCUAAACGCAGCAUACAAAAUCAGUCACAUAUGUUUUGUGAGCAUCAUACUCAAUUAAAGUGUAAAAUCCAAUUAUAGAUCUAAAUGAAGAUAAUUACAUUCACACACACGAUGGUGAGGUCUGGUUAGUAGUUAGCCUAUAUUAAAAGUCAAUAUCAUGAAUAUGAAAAGUCAUACCAACUGAUUCGUUGAUUCAUUUACUCCUUAAUAUUGAAAAAGUACUUCUAGUUAACUACAAAGAAAAUGAAAAAGUAUCAUUACAAAAACAGAAAAUUUGGUUUAGAGUUGUUCAAAGUUUCUAUUUAUUAGUACCAUAUAUUAUUAUUAUUAUUAUUAUUAUUAUUAUUAUUAUUAUUAUUAUUAUUAUUAUUAUGAAAGUAAACUGAUAUUUGUACUCAAAACAAUGAUAAAUUGUGAGUGCCCUGAUUUAGGUUAGAGAUAAUCAGGUUAGAGAUACAUUAUUAAGCGAUUUUGCACAAAUUCUGUUUUAUUUAUACAAGGGAUUUUGCUUUUGCAGAAAAUGUCAACAAAAGGAUCAUCUAAACUAAAGACUUUGUGCACACUGUGGAAAGAUUUAGAUGAACCUUUUAAAGCACGGAUUAACAAUAGAAUAGAAAAUUAUGGUGAAGGUUAUACACUGUUAAGAGUUUUAAGGUUUGUCCAAGAUAACUCAUCUGAAUUUUCAACAUCAUUGUUUGAAUUGUUCAUGAGUUAUUAUGGACUCCAAGAAAAUUAUUAUUGUUUUCAUGUUUGUGGUCAAAACAUGAACGUCACAUUGGAGGACGUUCUGUUUUUGACCAACUUACCCAUUACGGGCCGAACACUUAUAUCUGAAAGCAAUAAAGACCAUAUGGCUUUUAACAGAAUUUUUUCUUUACCUGACACUCAUAAACUUAAGUUAACAGUGUUGAAAUUUUUUUGCUACGAUAUAAAUAAAAUUGAUGAUGAUAUGAUCAAGGCCGUCAUCCUCAUGAUCGUGUCAUGUCUGAUCAUUCCAAGUGGGGAUGGACAAAAUUGCAAAACCACCUACGUCGAAUUUAUUGAAAAAUUAGACGAAGUAUACUCCUAUGCUUGGGGAGCGGCAAUAUUAUCCUAUCUAUAUCAAGGUCUGAAGGAGAAUAAUUUACGGAAUAAGAAAGUUGACGGCUUUGUAUGGCUGAUAAUGGUAAGUGCAUAUUUUUUCUUAUAUCUUUUUUCUUCUUACCUCUUUGUUUGAUAACUUUUUAACCAACUUUUUUUUCAUAGGGAUUCUUCUUUUAUCAUUUUAAAGGUCUUUAUCAAAUCCUCAAUAUUAAUGCUAUUAAUGCGGAGGAAGAUCAUAUGCCUAAUACGCCACUAUUGACAUAUUUGAUAAAAGCUCUUUUCAAACUCGGCCAAAACCGCCACACAAAACCCCAUCAUCAAUUAGGACAAAAGUUUUAGUUGAUACGUAACUUCUUGGAUAUGGAUCAUGAUGUAAGAAAUGAUUUCUAUAGCUUAUGUAGGUUGUGAUUUUGUGGGAUAAUGGUUAGUUAAUUUUUAGUUUGUUAUCUUUAUCUUUUGUUUUUUGUAUAACACAGGAUAUAGAAAAUUUUCCUAUUACUUGGCAUCCCUAUAUUGAACAAAUGUUGUCUCCCGACCUGCAACAGUCGAUGGAACUUGAUGAUAUUAACUUGACCGGUGUUGGAUCUGAUAUGGAAAUGAUUAUUUCAAAGGAAAUAAAGGCAGUAAUCCCAUCAUUUUGAGCACAUUUUUAAAAAAGAGGAGGAUAACGAUAGGCGGUUUGCACAAAACUUCCAGACUAUUGAAGCAUCCACUUCUGAGACAGCAGGUGAUAUUGAAGCAUCCACUUCCGAGACGGCAAGUGAUCACCAAUCACCAAUAUUGAGAAUAUCACUAGUGGAGGUAAAAUAUUUAAUUAUGUUAUGGUUUUAGUUAUGAAUAAUGAUAAGUAAUCAGCGGUGCAUGUUAUCUUAUGAAUAUAUAAUUACGUUUUUAAUUAAGAAAAUGUAGUUUUAUUAUUUGCCAAAUUUUAACAAUGUGAUAGAUGCAUGUGAGAUGUUGGCGGUUGAUUAUGAAGCAUAUGAGAUUACCGUACUAUCGUCGCCCCAUUGUUUUGCUACAACUAUGUGGAGCCUCAAUAUCCAAAUGUUGUAGCAAAACAGUUCGAGGAACUUGAUGAUAUUAACUUGACCGGUGUUGGAUCUGAUAUGGGAAUGAUUAUUUCAAAGGGAAAUAAAGGCAAUAAUCCAAUCAAUUUUAAAGCACAUUUUAAAAAAGAAAUGAGACAAUGGGAGGAUAUCGAUAGGCGGUUGCACAAAACUUCCAGACUAUUGAAGCAUCCACUUCUGAGACGGCAGGUGAUAUUGAAGCAUCCACUUCCGAGACGGCAAGUGAUCACCAAUCACCCAAUAUUGAGAAUAGCACUAGUGGAGGUAAAAUAUUUAAUUAUGUUAUGGUUUUAGUUGUGAAUUAUAAGUAAUCAGCGGUGCAUGUUAUCUUAUGAAUAUAUAAUUACGUUUUUAAUUAAGAAAAUGUAGUUUUUUAUUUGCCAAAUUUUAACAAUGUGAUAGAUGCAUGUGAGAUGUUGGCGGUUGAUUUUGAAGCAUAUGAGAUUACCAUAUUAUCGUCGCCCCAUUGUUUUUCUACAACUAUGUGGAGCCUCAAUUAGGGGUGUUCGCGGUUUGGUUUGGAUCGGUUUUGAGACAAAAACUCAUCCGAUCCAAAGAUACAAAGAGCAUAUGGUUUGGUUCGGUUAUUGGAUGACAAUAAAAAAAAUCCAAUCCAAUCCAAUCCAAUUUAUACGGUUUACUUCGGUUCGGUUUUAUUCGGUUUUUAAACAAACACUACUUCUAAAUCUAAAAUCAUAUUUAACUUUAACUAUUAACUAGUAUGCAUUCUAGUAAUAGUAUGUGUUUAAACAAUUGUAUUUAUUAGUAUUUAAUUGUAUUUAAAUUGUAAUAUUUAAAUAAUAUUAUUAAUUAGUGCAUGAUGUGCUGUAAAUGUGCAUUGUAUUUAAUUUGUAACGGUGCAUUGUAUUUAAUUAAUUAGAGUUAAUGAGAAUACUAUAUGAAUAAAUAUUGGUUCGGUUUGGAUUGGUUCGGUUUUCAUGCUGCCAACCGAAAACUGAACCGAACCGGUCAGUCAUUCUACAAGGUGGUCCAAACAUAUCCAAAAAAAUUCGGUUUUUUUUUGUUUUCGGUUUUUUUGGUUCGGUUUUUUUUUGGAUUGGAUUGGAUUUGAACACCCCUAGCCUCAAUACCCAAAUGUUGUAGCAAAACAGUUCGAGGAACUUGAUGAUAUUAACUUGACCGGUGUGGGAUCUGAUAUGGGAGUGAUUAUUUCAAAGGGAAAUAAAGGCAAUAAUCCCAUCAAUUUUAAAGCACAUUUUAAAAAAGAGAUGAGAUAAUGGGAGGAUAUCGAUAGGCGGUUUGCACAAAACUUCCAGACUAUUGAAUCAUCCACUUCUGAGAGGGCAGGUGAUAUUGAAGCAUCCACUUCUGAGACGGCAAAUGAUCACCAAUCACCCAAUAUUGAGAAUAGCACUAGUGGAGGUAAAAUAUUUAAUUAUGUUAUGGUUUUAGUUAUGAAUAAUGAUAAGUAAUCAGCGGUGCAUGUUAUCUUAUGAAUAUAUAAUUACGUUUUUAAUUAAGAAAAUGUAGUUUUUUAUUUGCCAAAUUUUAAUAAUGUGAUAGAUGCAUGUGAAAUGUUUGCGGUUGAUUUUGAAGCAUAUGAGAUUACCGUACUAUCGUCGCCCCAUUGUUUUGCUACAACUAUGUGGUGCCUCAAUAUCCAAAUGUUGUAGCAAAGCAGUUCGAGGAACUUGAUGAUAUUAACUUGACCGGUGUUGGAUCUGAUAUGGGAGUGAUUAUUUCAAAGGGAAAUAAAGGCAAUAAUCCCAUCAAUUUUGAAGCACAUUUUAAAAAAGAGACGAGACAAUGGGAGGAUAUCGAUAGGCGGUUUGCACAAAACUUCCAGACUAUUGAAGCAUCCACUUCUGAGACGGCAGGUGAUAUUGAAGCAUCCACUUCCGAGACGGCAAGUGAUCACCAAUCACCCAUUAGUUAUUUACAUAUUAGAAGCAUUCUGGGAUAAAAAUAUAGGUUUGUUUAAUGUAACUUCCCUCCUUAUGACGUUUUUUUAACACACAACAUAACCGCUCCACUUCUCUUCUCUCACACCCGCUUCGCUCCACUAUCUCUUCUCUCACCACAGUGCCAUACGCUUCUUCUCUUUCUUCAACACACAGUGCCACACCGCUUCUUCUCUUUGGCGUUGUCGCNGGGAAAUAAAGGCAAUAAUCCCAUCAAUUUUGAAGCACAUUUUAAAAAAGAGACGAGACAAUGGGAGGAUAUCGAUAGGCGGUUUGCACAAAACUUCCAGACUAUUGAAGCAUCCACUUCUGAGACGGCAGGUGAUAUUGAAGCAUCCACUUCCGAGACGGCAAGUGAUCACCAAUCACCCAAUAUUGAGAAUAGCACUAGUGCAGGUAAAAUAUUUAAUUAUGUUAUCGUUUUAGUUAUGAAAGUAACAGCGGGUGCAUGUUAUCUUAUGAACUAUGGAAUUACGUUUUUUUAAUUAAAGAAAAUGUGUUUUUUAUUUGCACCAGAUUUUAACGAAAUGUGAUAAGAUGCGAAUGUGAGAUCGUUGGCGGCUUGAGUUUUGAAGCAUGAUGAAUACCAUAUUAUCGUCGAUCCAAUGCGGUUAGAGAGAAUGUCAUAAGCUUAGGGUUAUGAUUAUCACCAAAGUUUGUACAACUUUGAAUUUUGGAUUUUAGAAUAAAUAGAUGAUAAUUUUUUACAUUUUUUAAUCAAUUAUUAAAUUAUAAUAUAUAUAAGAAAAAAAUCAUAUAACUAUGUUAUUACAUAUAGAACAUUCUGGGUAAAAAUAUAGUUUGUUAAUGUAACUUCCUCACUUAUGAACGUUUUUUUAACACACCAACAUACCCGCUUCCACUUCUCUUUCUCUCAACACACCGCUUCGCUUCCACUUAUCUUUCUCUCAACACAGUGCCAUACGCUUCUUCUCUUUCUUCAACACACAGUGCCACACCGCUUCUUCUCUUCUCUUUGGCUUUGUGCGCAGAUUUUGUCGAAGCUCAUCGUCCACCACCGCCGCGGGUUCCAUUUGCCACUGUUAACACCAUCAACUAAUCUCUGAUUGACAAUUGCUUUGGCGUUGGGUAGUUUUUUUUUUCUUCUUUCAUUUUGGAUUGUGAAAUAGGAUCAUAAGCAAUACCUCUGUAUUAUGAUUUUGGGGAGUUAGUUAAUUUCAAUAUCUCUCUCUUUUUUAGAUUUUGUCGAAGCUCAUCGUCCACCACCGCCGCGGGUUCCAUUUGCCACUGUUAACACCGAUCACUAAUCUCUGAUUGACAUUGCUUUGGCGUUGGGUAAGUUCUUUUUUUCUUCUUUCAUUUUUGGGGAUUGUGAAAUUAGGAUAUAAGCAAUACCUCUGUAUUAUGAUUUUGGGGAGUUAGUUAAUUUCAAUUUAGGGAUUAUCUUGUGGAUUUAGGAAUCGAGUAUGGUUAUUUUAGGUUGAGUAUUGUUCAAUGGUUACUCUUGCAAUAUGGAAUUCACCCCUGUAGACACCACUGUUAGCAUUGACCCUGACCUGUAUCAGUAAGAGUUUCUGUGUACAAAAAAAUAGGGUCUUUCGUAUCCAAUCUCAAGGUGUACUUUCAUUGGAUUCGAUUGAAAAUAGUGUGGUGACUGAUAUUAUGCAAACUUUGUCAACUUUUUCAUCCAUGUCACCGGCGUCUCUGGCAUGCGCUCCGCCGUCACUCAAGAGGCUGAACUUUAACUUUCUCUUACCAACCGCUUCAUAUGUGUCCACUUUGUCUCUUCGGCAUGCCAAUAUAGAGCUUAUUAUUGUUACUCAUUCAUCGACACCUCCGAACCUUGGUCUAAUCUCAGUUGUGCUUCCACAGUUUGAGACUCAAGGAGUUGUUAUUUUGGUUAAUGUCGAUACAGAUGGAACUGUCUUAGUUAGCCAUGAUGGUAUGGAAAUGUGGCAAGGUUUACAGACGAAAGUUGCACAAAUUGCGGCAUCAACUUUCAAUAUCCUCCUUAAUUUUGUCUUCAUAUCAGAUACAAGUACAGAUAAGGUUCCUAAUUCUUCUCCAUUAACACCUUCUGCAAGUUCUGACAUGUAUGGAGCAGUGGUUUUAGAUGCAUGUGAGCAAAUAUCCGUACACAUGGAACCUAUUUCUUCCCAACAUAAAUUCAAGACUUUUACUGAGCUAGUUAAUGUGUGCUAUGUAGAGCGAAUAGAUCUUGCUGUCUGUGGAUUUUGUAUUGCACAGUUUUAGAAAUAAUACACUAUUUUCAUAUUUGUGCAUUUUUAUCCAUUUCUUAUAUAUUUUGUAAGUUGCGGUUUUUUCGGGUUCGCAUCAGUUUGAUUGGUGUUAAAUUAAUAUUAUAUGUGACUAUAUGAAUGCAGGAAAUGGCAACAAAAGCAAAAGGAAGUUCAAAACUGCCAACUUUGUGCGAUUUGUGGUCAAAAUUAGAUGAAGACUUUAAAGCCUUAAUUAACAACAGAAUUGAUAAUAAUGGUGAUGGUAGUUCUUUGUUGAGACUUAUCCCCAAUAGACGUGUGGAAAUUUCAACAUAUUUGCUGCAAGAGUUCAUGACACUUUAUGAACAUAGAGAAAAUGAUUUUUAUUUUCAGGUCUGUGGUCAACAACGCAUGAACGUCACAUUGGAGGACGUUUUAUUUUUGACCCAUUUGCCUAUUAUAGGCCGACCAAUUGUCCCCAUUGACAAUAGAGAUCGAGAUGCUUUCAAUCGACUUUUUUCAGAAAAUUCAUCUCUACUUUCCCUAGUCACGUUGAGAAAUAUUUGUUGUGAUACAAAUAGAAAUGAUGAUGAGAGGAUCAAGGCUGUCCUUCUCAUGAUUGUGACAUGCCUGAUUGCUCCAAAUGGGAAUGGACAAAAUUGCAAGACUUCUUACGUCCAAUUUAUCGAAAAAUUGGACGAAGUUAACUCCUAUGCUUGGGGAGCUGCAAUGUUAGCAUACUUGUAUCAAGGUAUGAAGGGAUGGAAGACCGAUGAUAAGGCAAUUGACGGCUUCACCUGGCUUAUAAUGGUAAGAGCAUUUUUUUCUUAUCAUUUUUUUUUCCUUAUCUCUUUUUUUGAUAAUUUUUUCACCAACUUUUUUUUUUCAUAGGGCUUCUUCUUUUCUCAUUUUAGAGGUCUUUAUUCGAUCUUCAAUAAUGCUGUGGAGGAAAAUCAGGCUCAUGAUAAGCCAAAACUGGCAUAUUUGAUAGAGUCACUUGAGAAAACCGGCAAAAUCCACCCAAAGAAGGCCAACAUCCCAUUACAAUUGAAGGUCAACAUAACAUUUUAAGUAGACAACUUAAUCUUUCCAAUUCAUUUAAUAUCACCUCAAAAUCAUGAAAAAUGAAGGAGCUAUGUCCUUGGGAAGUUGACCCAAAAUUAGGGUUUUAGUCAAAAUGACCUAUAAUGUUUUGAAAUGGAUGAUGACCUUCCAAGCUUCAAAUAAAUUUUUUAUGAACAUGAAAGUUGUUCAUAAGAUUCUUAAGAACAUUGUUUCUCUUGGGGUUAUCUCCAUUUGACAAACACAUUAAAAGUUAGGUCUCAGUGUACUUCAAAAUAGUCAUAUGAAUUGACUGAUCAACUUCUCAAGUCUACACCUCAUAUCUUGAUGAAUUGAUGAUUGAGGAUACUCAAAUAAGUUCAAAUAUGCAUGAAAUGAUGAUUUAAAGAACUUCCCUUGAUUGCAUUUGAUCAUAGGUUGAGGUUGCUUCAUGAGCAACGCAUAGUUGAUGAACAGAUAAAUUACGGCUUCCUUGGGAAACAAACCUCAAACCCUUUGGUUUGCUUUGAUCAAAAUUAUGAAUUGAGAUACUUGGGAGGCAUAUUUGAUGUAUGAGAGCUUUGGGAACCAUUGACAUGCUUGCUUUCAUCUUCCCUUGACUAUAUCAGUGCACCUAGGAUCUCCUAGAAGUUUUGGAUCUUGUGACUGCUCAAGCUACAAACAAAAGAUGUUAGUGACAUAUUUUUGUGUUUUUGGUUAGUGAAUAAAAUGAGAGAAGCAAUAAUAUACAAUUCAAGUAUGCUUGGUGAUCUCAAACCAAUUCUCAAAAGUUCCCACCCCAAAGGUAAGAAGCCAAGAUGCUUAUGAUCCUUGAGGCAAAAUGCAAAUGCAAUGAUAUGAUGCCAUGAGGGAUCUUAGGGUCAAAAUUGGGAUCUUACAAUUAUUAUUAUUAUUAUAUUGUUUGUGUUCUUUGUUAUAUGAUUGUGGUCCUUUUUGAAUUUUUUGUUAUUGUUGAAAUUAUGAGUGGAAGUGAAAUAACUCCAUAUUCUUCUAGAAGGGCUNUGAAAUUUAAAAAAAUAAAAAGGAAAUUAAACAGAUGACCAUGAAAUUUAAAAAAAUAAAAAGGAAAUUAAAUAUACCUUUCUCUUCCUUUGUCUUUUAUGUCUUUUAGCCAUAGCAUUGACGUGAUUAAUGGAAUGCGUAAAUCUCUCGAUUCCCACCCCCCUAUUUUCUCUUUUUGUAGUUUUAAGCUGUAGUGGAGGAGUCGCCAUGCCACGUCUACGGCGUACCUGAAUCACCACAUUCUGCCCCGCAUUCUCUACAUUCUGCCCCGCAUUCCCCACAUUCUGCCCCGCAUUCCCCGCAUUCCCCGCAUUCUCCCCCGCAUUUUCAUCUAUAUCACCCAACUGCCUCGCAUUUGUUUCCCCGGCUGCAUAUAUCACAUUAUUUAAACCCGGCAAAUCAAGAAUAUUUUCAUAAUUAAGAAUGUAACUAAAAACAUAACAUAGUUAAAUAUUUUACCUUCACUAGUGCCAACCUCUGAUGACCUUUGUGCAUGGUAUGGUGAUGGACAAGACAUAUCAAGGGAUGAUGGUGGAGAAAAAUGCACAUCAGCGUCGGAGAGAUGCCCUUGGGAAUUGGCUGUAUGCAGGGGAGUGUGAUUUUGUUGAGCAGCUUCUGGCUCGGAAAUGGAUUGUUGAGCAGCUUCUGGCUCGGAAAUGGAUUGUUGAGCAGUGUGGUAGUUUUCUGAUGAAAUUUAAAAAAAUAAAAAGGAAAUUAAACAGAUGACCAUGAAAUUUAAAAAAAUAAAAAGGAAAUUAAAUAUACCUUUCUCUUCCUUUGUCUUUUAUGUCUUUUAGCCAUAGCAUUGACGUGAUCAAUGGAAUGCGUAAAUCUCUCGAUUGCCACCCCCCUAUUUUCUCUUUUUGUAGUUUUAAGCUGUAGUGGAGGAGUCGCCAUGCCACGUCUACGGCGUACCUGAAUCACCACAUUCUGCCCCGCAUUCCCCGCAUUCUCCACAUUCUGCCCCGCGUUCCCCACAUUCUGCCCCGCAUUCCCUGCAUUCCCCGCAUUCUCCCCCGCAUUUUCAUCUAUAUCACCCAACUGCCUCGCAUUUGUUUCCCCGACUGCAUAUAUCACAUUAUUUAAACCCGGCAAAUCAAGAAUAUUUUCAUAAUUAAGAAUGUAACUAAAAACAUAACAUAGUUAAAUAUUUUACCUUCACUAGUGCCAACCUCUGAUGACCUUUGUGCAUGGUAUGGUGAUGGAGAAGACAUAUCAAGGGAUGAUGGUGGAGAAAAAUGCACAUCAGCGUCGGAUAGAUGCCCUUGGGAAUUGGCUGUAUGCAGGGGAGUGUGAUUUUGUUGAGCAGCUUCUGGCUCGGAAAUGGAUUGUUGAGCAGCUUCUGGCUCGGAAAUGGAUUGUUGAGCAGUGUGGUAGUUUUCUGCUAACCGACUACCAAAUUGCCUCCACUGUAUCACCUCUUUAUUAUAAUAUGCUCGGAAAUUGAUUGACUUAUCUCCACUAUUUGCUUUGAAUUUUAUCGUUUCCAGAUCAGAUCCAACAUCUUGUAAAUCAACAUCAUUAAGGACCUCAAAUUGUUUUGCUACAACAUGUGGACGAUGAUGCUCCACAUAGUUGUAGCAAAAUAGAGGGGCGACGACAGUACGAUACUGGAUCUGAUCAUGUAGGUGGGGGGCAACGUGUCUAAAUUGUAUGGAUGCCAUGUAAUUGGUCUCACAUCUGCUUCGAUAUUCUAUGUUAUACAAAAAAAAGAUAAAGAUUAAAAAAUAAAGAUACAAUUAGUAUUAUAUAAUAAUGGUUUGUAAAAUUCUUACCUCCUCCGUUCUCAGGAGGUCAUGUACCAAAUUCAACUUCAAUUGUAAUGGGAUGUUGGCCUUCUUUGGGUGGAUUUUGCCGGUUUUCUCAAGUGACUCUAUCAAAUAUGCCAGUUUUGGCUUAUCAUGAGCCUGAUUUUCCUCCACAGCAUUAUUGAAGAUCGAAUAAAGACCUCUAAAAUGAGAAAAGAAGAAGCCCUAUGAAAAAAAAAAGUUGGUGAAAAAAUUAUCAAAAAAAGAGAUAAGGAAAAAAAAAUGAUAAGAAAAAAAUGCUCUUACCAUUAUAAGCCAGGUGAAGCCGUCAAUUGCCUUAUCAUCGGUCUUCCAUCCCUUCAUACCUUGAUACAAGUAUGCUAACAUUGCAGCUCCCCAAGCAUAGGAGUUAACUUCGUCCAAUUUUUCGAUAAAUUGGACGUAAGAAGUCUUGCAAUUUUGUCCAUUCCCAUUUGGAGCAAUCAGGCAUGUCACAAUCAUGAGAAGGACAGCCUUGAUCCUCUCAUCAUCAUUUCUAUUUGUAUCACAACAAAUAUUUCUCAACGUGACUAGGGAAAGUAGAGAUGAAUUUUCUGAAAAAAGUCGAUUGAAAGCAUCUCGAUCUCUAUUGUCAAUGGGGACAAUUGGUCGGCCUAUAAUAGGCAAAUGGGUCAAAAAUAAAACGUCCUCCAAUGUGACGUUCAUGCGUUGUUGACCACAGACCUGAAAAUAAAAAUCAUUUUCUCUAUGUUCAUAAAGUGUCAUGAACUCUUGCAGCAAAUAUGUUGAAAUUUCCACACGUCUAUUGGGGAUAAGUCUCAACAAAGAACUACCAUCACCAUUAUUAUCAAUUCUGUUGUUAAUUAAGGCUUUAAAGUCUUCAUCUAAUUUUGACCACAAAUCGCACAAAGUUGGCAGUUUUGAACUUCCUUUUGCUUUUGUUGCCAUUUCCUGCAUUCAUAUAGUCACAUAUAAUAUUAAUUUAACACCAAUCAAACUGAUGCGAACCCGAAAAAACCGCAACUUACAAAAUAUAUAAGAAAUGGAUAAAAAUGCACAAAUAUGAAAAUAGUGUAUUAUUUCUAAAACUGUGCAAUACAAAAUCCACAGACAGCAAGAUCUAUUCGCUCUACAUAGCACACAUUAACUAGCUCAGUAAAAGUCUUGAAUUUAUGUUGGGAAGAAAUAGGUUCCAUGUGUACGGAUAUUUGCUCACAUGCAUCUAAAACCACUGCUCCAUACAUGUCAGAACUUGCAGAAGGUGUUAAUGGAGAAGAAUUAGGAACCUUAUCUGUACUUGUAUCUGAUAUGAAGACAAAAUUAAGGAGGAUAUUGAAAGUUGAUGCCGCAAUUUGUGCAACUUUCGUCUGUAAACCUUGCCACAUUUCCAUACCAUCAUGGCUAACUAAGACAGUUCCAUCUGUAUCGACAUUAACCAAAAUAACAACUCCUUGAGUCUCAAACUGUGGAAGCACAACUGAGAUUAGACCAAGGUUCGGAGGUGUCGAUGAAUGAGUAACAAUAAUAAGCUCUAUAUUGGCAUGCCGAAGAGACAAAGUGGACACAUAUGAAGCGGUUGGUAAGAGAAAGUUAAAGUUCAGCCUCUUGAGUGACGGCGGAGCGCAUGCCAGAGACGCCGGUGACAUGGAUGAAAAAGUUGACAAAGUUUGCAUAAUAUCAGUCACCACACUAUUUUCAAUCGAAUCCAAUGAAAGUACACCUUGAGAUUGGAUACGAAAGACCCUAUUUUUUUGAACACAGAAACUCUUACUGAUACAGGUCAGGGUCAAUGCUAACAGUGGUGUCUACAUGGGUGAAUUCCAUAUUGCAAGAGUAACCAUUGAACAAUACUCAACCUAAAAUAACCAUACUCGAUUCCUAAAUCCACAAGAGAAUCCCUAAAUUGAAAUUAACUAACUCCCCAAAAUCAUAAUACAGAGGUAUUGCUUAUAUCCUAAUUUCACAAUCCCCAAAAAUGAAAGAAGAAAAAAAGAACUUACCCAACGCCAAAGCAAUGUCAAUCAGAGAUUAGUGAUCGGUGUUAACAGUGGCAAAUGGAACCCGCGGCGGUGGUGGACGAUGAGCUUCGACAAAAUCUGCGAACAAAGCCAAAGAAAGAGAAGAAGCGGUGUGGCACUGUGUGUUGAGAGAAAGAGAAGAAGCGUAUGGCACUGUGUGUUGAGAGAAAGAGAAGUGGAAGCGGAAGCGGUGUGUUGAGAGAAAGAGAAGUGGAAGCGGUAUGUUGUGUGUUAAAAAAACGUUCAUAAGUGGAGGGAAGUUACAUUAACAAACCUAUAUUUUUUACCCAGAAUGCUUCUAAUAUGUAAAUAACAUAGUUAUAAUGAAUUUUUUUCUUAUUAUAUUUAUAAUUAAUAAUUGAUUAAAAAAUGGUUAAAAAAUAUCUAUCUAUUUAUUCUAAAUCCAAAAUUCAAAGUUGUACAAACUUUGGUGAUAAUCAUAACCCUAAUGCUUAUGUGACAUUCUCUCUAACCGCCAAUGGGACGACGAUAAUAUGGUAAUCUCAUAUGCUUCAAAAUCAACCGCCAACAUCUCACAUGCAUCUAUCACAUUGUUAAAAUUUGGCAAAUAAAAAACUACAUUUUCUUAAUUAAAAACGUAAUUAUAUAUUCAUAAGAUAACAUGCACCGCUGAUUACUUUUCAUAACUAAAACCAUAACAUAAUUAAAUAUUUUACCUGCACUAGUGCUAUUCUCAAUAUUGGGUGAUUGGUGAUCACUUGCCGUCUCGGAAGUGGAUGCUUCAAUAUCACCUGCCGUCUCAGAAGUGGAUGCUUCAAUAGUCUGGAAGUUUUGUGCAAACCGCCUAUCGAUAUCCUCCCAUUGUCUCGUCUCUUUUUUAAAAUGUGCUUCAAAAUUGAUGGGAUUAUUGCCUUUAUUUCCCUUUGAAAUAAUCACUCCCAUAUCAGAUCCAACACCGGUCAAGUUAAUAUCAUCAAGUUCCUCGAACUGCUUUGCUACAACAUUUGGAUAUUGAGGCACCACAUAGUUGUAGCAAAACAAUGGGGCGACGAUAGUACGGUAAUCUCAUAUGCUUCAAAAUCAACCGCAAACAUUUCACAUGCAUCUAUCACAUUAUUAAAAUUUGGCAAAUAAAAAACUACAUUUUCUUAAUUAAAAACGUAAUUAUAUAUUCAUAAGAUAACAUGCACCGCUGAUUACUUAUCAUUAUUCAUAACUAAAACCAUAACAUAAUUAAAUAUUUUACCUCCACUAGUGCUAUUCUCAAUAUUGGGUGAUUGGUGAUCAUUUGCCGUCUCAGAAGUGGAUGCUUCAAUAUCACCUGCCCUCUCAGAAGUGGAUGAUUCAAUAGUCUGGAAGUUUUGUGCAAACCGCCUAUCGAUAUCCUCCCAUUAUCUCAUCUCUUUUUUAAAAUGUGCUUUAAAAUUGAUGGGAUUAUUGCCUUUAUUUCCCUUUGAAAUAAUCACUCCCAUAUNNNNNNNNNNNNNNNNNNNNNNNNNNNNNNNNNNNNNNNNNNNNNNNNNNNNNNNNNNNNNNNNNNNNNNNNNNNNNNNNNNNNNNNNNNNNNNNNNNNNNNNNNNNNNNNNNNNNNNNNNNNNNNNNNNNNNNNNNNNNNNNNNNNNNNNNNNNNNNNNNNNNNNNNNNNNNNNNNNNNNNNNNNNNNNNNNNNNNNNNNNNNNNNNNNNNNNNNNNNNNNNNNNNNNNNNNNNNNNNNNNNNNNNNNNNNNNNNNNNNNNNNNNNNNNNNNNNNNNNNNNNNNNNNNNNNNNNNNNNNNNNNNNNNNNNNNNNNNNNNNNNNNNNNNNNNNNNNNNNNNNNNNNNNNNNNNNNNNNNNNNNNNNNNNNNNNNNNNNNNNNNNNNNNNNNNNNNNNNNNNNNNNNNNNNNNNNNNNNNNNNNNNNNNNNNNNNNNNNNNNNNNNNNNNNNNNNNNNNNNNNNNNNNNNNNNNNNNNNNNNNNNNNNNNNNNNNNNNNNNNNNNNNNNNNNNNNNNNNNNNNNNNNNNNNNNNNNNNNNNNNNNNNNNNNNNNNNNNNNNNNNNNNNNNNNNNNNNNNNNNNNNNNNNNNNNNNNNNNNNNNNNNNNNNNNNNNNNNNNNNNNNNNNNNNNNNNNNNNNNNNNNNNNNNNNNNNNNNNNNNNNNNNNNNNNNNNNNNNNNNNNNNNNNNNNNNNNNNNNNNNNNNNNNNNNNNNNNNNNNNNNNNNNNNNNNNNNNNNNNNNNNNNNNNNNNNNNNNNNNNNNNNNNNNNNNNNNNNNNNNNNNNNNNNNNNNNNNNNNNNNNNNNNNNNNNNNNNNNNNNNNNNNNNNNNNNNNNNNNNNNNNNNNNNNNNNNNNNNNNNNNNNNNNNNNNNNNNNNNNNNNNNNNNNNNNNNNNNNNNNNNNNNNNNNNNNNNNNNNNNNNNNNNNNNNNNNNNNNNNNNNNNNNNNNNNNNNNNNNNNNNNNNNNNNNNNNNNNNNNNNNNNNNNNNNNNNNNNNNNNNNNNNNNNNNNNNNNNNNNNNNNNNNNNNNNNNNNNNNNNNNNNNNNNNNNNNNNNNNNNNNNNNNNNNNNNNNNNNNNNNNNNNNNNNNNNNNNNNNNNNNNNNNNNNNNNNNNNNNNNNNNNNNNNNNNNNNNNNNNNNNNNNNNNNNNNNNNNNNNNNNNNNNNNNNNNNNNNNNNNNNNNNNNNNNNNNNNNNNNNNNNNNNNNNNNNNNNNNNNNNNNNNNNNNNNNNNNNNNNNNNNNNNNNNNNNNNNNNNNNNNNNNNNNNNNNNNNNNNNNNNNNNNNNNNNNNNNNNNNNNNNNNNNNNNNNNNNNNNNNNNNNNNNNNNNNNNNNNNNNNNNNNNNNNNNNNNNNNNNNNNNNNNNNNNNNNNNNNNNNNNNNNNNNNNNNNNNNNNNNNNNNNNNNNNNNNNNNNNNNNNNNNNNNAAAAAAAAGAUAAAGAUUAAAAAAUAAAGAUACAAUUAGUAUUAUAUAAUAAUGGUUUGUAAAAUUCUUACCUCCUCCGUUCUCAGGAGGUCAUGUACCAAAUUCAACUUCAAUUGUAAUGGGAUGUUGGCCUUCUUUGGGUGGAUUUUGCCGGUUUUCUCAAGUGACUCUAUCAAAUAUGCCAGUUUUGGCUUAUCAUGAGCCUGAUUUUCCUCCACAGCAUUAUUGAAGAUCGAAUAAAGACCUCUAAAAUGAGAAAAGAAGAAGCCCUAUGAAAAAAAAAAGUUGGUGAAAAAAUUAUCAAAAAAAGAGAUAAGGAAAAAAAAAUGAUAAGAAAAAAAUGCUCUUACCAUUAUAAGCCAGGUGAAGCCGUCAAUUGCCUUAUCAUCGGUCUUCCAUCCCUUCAUACCUUGAUACAAGUAUGCUAACAUUGCAGCUCCCCAAGCAUAGGAGUUAACUUCGUCCAAUUUUUCGAUAAAUUGGACGUAAGAAGUCUUGCAAUUUUGUCCAUUCCCAUUUGGAGCAAUCAGGCAUGUCACAAUCAUGAGAAGGACAGCCUUGAUCCUCUCAUCAUCAUUUCUAUUUGUAUCACAACAAAUAUUUCUCAACGUGACUAGGGAAAGUAGAGAUGAAUUUUCUGAAAAAAGUCGAUUGAAAGCAUCUCGAUCUCUAUUGUCAAUGGGGACAAUUGGUCGGCCUAUAAUAGGCAAAUGGGUCAAAAAUAAAACGUCCUCCAAUGUGACGUUCAUGCGUUGUUGACCACAGACCUGAAAAUAAAAAUCAUUUUCUCUAUGUUCAUAAAGUGUCAUGAACUCUUGCAGCAAAUAUGUUGAAAUUUCCACACGUCUAUUGGGGAUAAGUCUCAACAAAGAACUACCAUCACCAUUAUUAUCAAUUCUGUUGUUAAUUAAGGCUUUAAAGUCUUCAUCUAAUUUUGACCACAAAUCGCACAAAGUUGGCAGUUUUGAACUUCCUUUUGCCUUUGUUGCCAUUUCCUGCAUUCAUAUAGACAUAUAAUAUUAAUUUACCCAAUCAAACUAAAAAAUGAUGGAACCCGAAAACCGCAACUUACAAAUAUAUAGAAUGGAUAAAAUGCACAAUAUGAAAUAGUGUUUAUUUCUAAAAUUGUGCAAUACAAAAUCCACGCAGCAAAGAUCUUAUCGCUCUACAUAGCACCUUAACUAGCUCAGUAAAAGUCAUUGAUUUAUGUUGGAAGAAAUAGGUUCCAUGUACGGAUAUUCUGUCACCUGCCAUCUAAAACCACUGCUCCUACAUGUCAGACUUGUAGAAGUGUUAAUGUGAGAGAAUUAGGACUAUCUGUACUUGUAUCUUUGAUAUGAAGACAAAAUUUAAGGGGAUAUGAAGUGAUGCGCAUGUUUUGCACUUUCGUCUGUAAACCUUUGCCACAUUUCCAUAACCAUCAAUGGGCCCUAACAAGACAGUCCAUCUGUAUCGUCAUUACACCAAAAUAACAACUCCUUGAGUCUCAAACUGUGGAAGCACAACUGAGAUUAGACCAAGGUUCGGAGGUGUCGAUGAAUGAGUAACAAUAAUAAGCUCUAUAUUGGCAUGCCGAAGAGACAAAGUGGACACAUAUGAAGCGGUUGGUAAGAGAAAGUUAAAGUUCAGCCUCUUGAGUGGCGGCGGAGCGCAUGCCAGAGACGCCGGUGACAUGGAUGAAAAAGUUGACAAAGUUUGCAUAAUAUCAGUCACCACACUAUUUUCAAUCGAAUCCAAUGAAAGUACACCUUGAGAUUGGAUACGAAAGACCCUAUUUUUUUGAACACAGAAACUCUUACUGAUACAGGUCAGGGUCAAUGCUAACAGUGGUGUCUACAUGGGUGAAUUCCAUAUUGCAAGAGUAACCAUUGAACAAUACUCAACCUAAAAUAACCAUACUCGAUUCCUAAAUCCACAAGAGAAUCCCUAAAUUGAAAUUAACUAACUCCCCAAAAUCAUAAUACAGAGGUAUUGCUUAUAUCCUAAUUUCACAAUCCCAAAAAAUGAAAGAAGAAAAAAAGAACUUACCCAACGCCAAAGCAAUGUCAAUCAGAGAUUAGUGAUCGGUGUUAACAGUGGCAAAUGGAACCCGCGGCGGUGGUGGACGAUGAGCUUCGACAAAAUCUCGCGAACAAAGCCAAAGAAGAGAAGAGCGGUGUGGCACUGUGUGUUGAGAGAAAGAGAAGAAGCGUAUGGCACUGUUCUGGUGAAGAAAGAGAAGUGGAAGCGGAAGCGGUGUGUUGAGAGAAAGAGAAGUGGAAGCGGUAUGUUGUGUGUUAAAAAACGUUCAUAAGGGGAGGAGUUACAUUAACAACCUAUAUUUUUACAGAAUGUUCUAAAUGUAAAUACAUAGUUAUAUGAAUUUUUUCUUAUUAUAUUUAUAAUUAAUAAUUGAUUAAAAAAUGGUUAAAAAUAUCUAUCUAUUUAUUCUAAAUCCAAAUUCAAAGUUGUACAAACUUUGGUGAUAAUCAUAACCCUAAUGCUUAUGUGACAUUCUCUCUAACCGCAAUGGCGACGACGAUAAUAUCCGCUAAUCUCAUAUGCUUCAAAAUUCCAACCAGCCAACAUCUCCCAUGCUCUAUCACAUUGUUAAAAUUUGGCAAAUAAAAAACUACAUUCUUAUUAAAACUAUUAUAAUUUAUACGAUAACAUGCACGCUUGAUACUUUUCAUAACUAACCAUAACAUAAUUAAAAUUUUUAUCUGCCACUAGUGCUAUUCUCAAUAUUGGGUGAUUGGUGAUCACUUGCCGUCUCGGAGUGGGAUGCUUCAAUAUCACCUGCCGUCUGAGUGGGAUGCUUCAAUAGUCUGGAAGUUUUGUGCAAACCGCUAUGAUAUCCUCCCAUCUGUCUCGUUCUUUUUAAAAUUGCUCAUCAAAAAUUGAUGGAAUUUAUUCUUAUUCACCUUUGAAAUAAACACCUCUCCUAUCAGAUCCACAACCCGGUCAAGUUAAUAUCAUCAAGUUCCUCGACUGCUUUGCUACAACAUUUGGAUUUGACGGCACCACAUAGUUGUAGCAAAACAAUGGCACCAGCGCNNNNNNNNNNNNNNNNNNNNNNNNNAUUCCACGACAGCAGAUCUUUCGCUCUCAUAGCCAUACUAGCUCAGUAAAAGUCUUGAAUUUAUGUUGGGAAUAGGUUCCUGUGUACGGAUAUUGCUCACAUGCAUCUAAAACCACUGCUCUACAUGUCAGACUUUGAAGGUGUUAAUGAGAGAAUUAGGAACCUUAUCUGUACUUGUAUCUGAUAUGAAGCAAAAUUAGGGGAUAUUGAAGUUGAUGCCGCAUUUGUGCAACUUUCGUCUGUAAACCUUGCCACAUUUCCAUACCUCAUGGCUAACUAGACAGUUCUUGUAUCGACAUCCAAAUAACAACUCCUGUGGUCUAAACUGUGGAAGCACAACUGAGAUUAGACCAAGGUUCGGAGGUGUCGAUGAAUGAGUACACAUAAUAAGCUCUAUAUUGGAUGCCGAAGAGACAAAGUGACACAUAUGAAGCGGUUGGUAAGAGAAAGUUAAAGUUCAGCUCUUGAGUGGCGGCGGAGCGCAUGCAGAGACGCCGGUGGACAUGAUGAAUGAAAGUUGACAAGUUUGCAUAUAUCAGCACCACACUAUUUUCAAUCGAAUCCAUGAAAGUCACCUUGAGAUUGGAUACGAAAGACCUAUUUUUUUGACACAGAAACUCUUACUGAUACAGGUCAGGGUCAAUGCAACAGUGGUGUCACUGGGUGAUCCAUAUUGAACAUUGACAAUACUAACUAAAUACCAUACUCGAUCCUAAUCCAAGAGAAUCCCUAAAUUGAAUUAACUAACUCCCAAUAUCUACAGAUAUGCUUAUAUCCUUUUCACAAUCCCAAAAAUGAAGAAGAAAAAAGACUUACCCAACGCCAAAGCAUGUCAAUCAGAGUUAGUGAUCGGUGUUAACAGUGCAAAUGGACCGCGGCGUGGUGGACGAUGAGCUUCGACAAAUCUGCGAACAAGCCAAAGAAAGAGAGAGCGGUGUGGCACUGUGUGUUGAGAGAAGAGAAGAAGCGUAUGGCACUGUGUGUGAGAGAAAGAGAAGUGGAAGCGGAAGCGGUGUGUUGAGGAAAGAGAGUGGAAGCGGUAUGUUGUGUGUUAAAAAACGUUCAUAGUGAGGGAAGUUACAUUAACAACCUAUAUUUUUUCCAGAAUGCUUCUAAUAUGUAAAUACAUAGUUAUAAUGAAUUUUUUCUUUAUUUAUAAUUAAUAUUGAUUAAAUGGUUAUAUCUAUCUAUUAUUCUAUCCAAAUUCAAAGUUGUACAACUUUGGUGAUAAUCAUAACCUAAUGCUUAUGUGCAUUCUCUCUACACCUUUUUAUUUCAAAUAACUUUUCUAUAUAUUCAACUAAUAUAUAUAAUAGAAUAUCCAAUCAAUAUUAUAAUAAUUAUAGAUAUAUAUAAUAUUCAAUCAAUAUUAAGAUUAAUAAUAAUAAACAAUUAUAUAACAUCUACUUUUAUUAUCUAAUAGCACUUUCUUAGAUAUUCAACUAAUAUAAUAUAAUAUAUAUAUUAAUCAAUAUAUAUAUAUAAUUUCCCCAUAUUAUUAUAUAUAUUAUUAUAUUAUAUUUAUAUAAUUAUAAUUAUUAUAUAUAUAUAUAUAUUAAAAUUUGAAAAUUGAAAGUGAAUAUAACCGUUUGUUACAAGACAAUUAGAGUAAUUAAUUUUAAAUUAGAAUUAAAAAUGAAAUUCAUUUUAGACAUUUUCUUCUUUCAAAUGGUUUUUUUUAACAAUCCUACUUUUCAAUAUAGCAAUUAUUGCUAUUUUUUUAAUUAUACCCUUCAAUUAUUAGUCUGUGCGAUUAUACCCUUCAUAAUCGCACGGCUGAGGGGGUCGUGAUGCUCGUCAUCGUCGCUGUGGUCGGACAGUGGUGAUGUGGAGCGAUGGUGGGGUUCGCCUCUUGUCUUCUUGUGGGAUGGGGAACCGCGGUUUUUGCGAGGGGGAGUAUGACCCCUCUUUUUGUCGACCGUUCUUUGUCUCUGAGGUAGAGACGAGGAACGGGUCUUCUCCAAGGCUUCAAUGCGCUGGGCUUGUUGUAAGAGGAGAGUAUUCGUAUGGUUGAGAGCGGAGAGGACGACGACCAAUGCGGGAUCUGCAUUGGUCGACAAGGAUGCUGAAAGUUGAGGGACGACGGGCUCGUCCGUGGGGUUCUGGUUAAGUUGGUUCUCCAAAAGAGGAUCUUGAUGACCAGCGUCUUCGGAAUCAGGUGAGGCGGUUCGACCGUCUUUUCGGUCGAGCAAAUCUUGAAGUACGGGUGAGAUAUCUAGUCGGGUUUGUUGGCAGGAGAAGAAAAGUUGUUGUUGCCAGAAGGGAGAUUUGUGACACCCUUAAAUUUAUUAAUUAUUAGUAUUUAUUAUUAUUAUUAUUUUAUAAUAAUAUUGUGUGUCCUUUAAUUUAUUAUGUGUUUUGUGUGUUAAUUGGAAUUAUUUGAAUAUGAGUAUUAUUUAAAUAAUUGGAUUUUAUGAGUAUUAUUGUGUUUAUUUGUUAUUGGGCCUAAGUGGUAGUAAUAAGUAAAUGGGGAGUGUUAAUUACUAAGCCCAAUAAGAAUAGAAUUAGUAAGGGUUAAUGUAAGAAUUAUAGUUAGUAUUGUUAUUUUGGAGAAAGAGAGAAGAAUAGAGAGAAGAGAAGAGAAAAGGAAGAAGAAGAAGAGGCAACCCUAAUUCCAUUUCUUCAAGAGGUAAGGGGGAGAAUCUUCAUUAUUGUUCAAUUACAUGUUGUUAGGUAAUGAUUAGAGUAAUGGUAGAUGUUUGGGUAUUCAUGAAAUUGAGUUUUCAACUCACAAUGUUAGGGUUUUGAUUUGGGAAUUUGAUGAAUUGACUAGAUUUAGUGAUAUGUAUAGGUUCCCUAUGUUAGAUACAUGUUAAAGGAUGUAUUUGUGUUGUUAAAUCACUGCUGGAACAUGUUUUGGAUGGUGGGAAUCGGACUGGUGUAGUGCUGUUGCGCUUUGGCAGAGUUGCUGUCUGCGCAAGGGCGUUGAGCGCACGGGGUGCCGCUCAGCGCGAUGUGCUGUAUGCAGAAAAAUAUUUUCUUUAAUUAGGGAGUUAUGCUUUGGGGGUUUGAUACAUAUUGAUUUAUCAUUAAUUUACAUGAGUUUAGAUGUAUGAAUUGAUGAGCUUUGGAUCAUGUUUGAAUCGAUUUUCAUUGAUAAUGUGAAACUUGAGUUUUGAAGAAUAUGUUAUGUUUUUAGUUGAAUCUCAUAAUGUAAACUUGUUGGCUUGGUUUCUAUACAUGAUUCGUGAUAUAUGUUGGUAACCUAAGCUAUGUGUGAUGAUUAAUUCAUGGAUUACAUGCUAAUUGUGAAUUUGAUGUAUAUUAUGCCAUGAAUGGAUUUUGGUGAGGUAGUUAUGCUAAGUUGUUUCUAAUGCUUGUGAGUCACAUGAGUCUUUUAUGAUUGUGAGUCUUGAUUUUAUGCUUUGUGCUAAUUGUUACAUGUACGUGAACUAUUUGAAUUGAUGAUGUAUAUACUAAAUAUCCUAAUCGUGUACAUGCUUUAUAUGAAUGGAAAGUGAAGAAUAUGCUAUGUGAAUGUAUACUUGGAAGUGUGUUGAAUUCAUAAUUGUUGUAUGUGCUAUUCUUUAUUAUUACUUGAAUGACAUAUAAUUGUUUAAUGAUGUGAAUUCUCACCCUUCUGCUUAGAUGUUGCCUUUACAUGGGUAACGUGCAGGUUCAGAGGAUAGUGGUGCUCCGCACGAGGCUAGUGAGGAGUAGUCUUAGAUCUAUUUCCUAUCCUUAGGUAGUUGAUCAUUUGCUCUAAUCAUGUAACACGGGGUAACUGGAUAUUAUGUCUGACUUGAUAUAUUAUACUUUAUUUUUUCUUGUCUGGAUUUAUGUUAUGGAUGUGAUACUAUUCUGAUGUGGCAUUGUAGCCGAUGUAUGAAUCCUUGUUAACUGUUUAUGUUAUGGAUUUGCUACUUGUAUCCAAUGAUUAUAGUAUGGGAUGUAAUCAUUCAUAGUAUCCGAGUUUCUUUUAUUAUUCCGAUGUUUAAUGCAUGAUUUCGAUUUAUGACAUGAUAAUUCAGUUAUGUGUUAAAGAUUCAUGAUCAGUAG